RNAcentral lists this long non-coding RNA (56172 nucleotides) under Durio zibethinus. Its description in RNAcentral is "long non-coding RNA (DZIB_LNC001272)". Lineage: Eukaryota; Viridiplantae; Streptophyta; Magnoliopsida; Malvales; Malvaceae. The record is from RNAcentral.
AACACAAAAUCCUACUGAUAACUUCCUUUCGACCAAGAAAAUAAUUGAAGCAAAGGCUUUCAGUUUCAGUGUGAUGGUGAGAAUCAAGCCUUUCAACUUUAAAAAUCUUAGUUUCAUGGCUAGCUACUUUUUAUGAAUGUACAUUAAAGGUUUUCUUGAUAUCCCCUUCUUUCUUCUCUGCAGGCAUUGCUAGUUAUUGCUUUUUUGAUUUUGAACUUUGGUUUUGGGAUUGAUAAUUGCCAAUCCCUUAAUGUCAUCAAUUUUGGGGCUGUUGGAGAUGGAAGAACAGAUGAUUCACCGGUAAAUUUUUCAUCUUUUUUUAGCUUAAAUUAAGCUCCAUGUACGUACAAUAUUGUACAUGCAUGUUUUUUUUUUGUAUACUGCAUAUAGUAUAUUCCUAUUUAAUUUAUUUUCCUUUUGCUUUCUCUCUCUCUCUCUCUCUCUCUCUCUAUAUAUAUAUAUAUAUAUAUAUAUGAUUUUAUCUGAUCUUACUAAUAGUUAUGUGUUGAAUUUGAAUGUGUAGGCUUUUUCAAAAGCUUGGACAGCUCUGUGUGCAGCAACUAAUAAUCCAACCUUGGAAAUCCCUUCUGCCAAAGCUUUUUUGCUGAGUACUAAAAUUGAUUUUUCCGGUCCUUGCAAGUCAAAAUCCAUUCAUAUUAAGGCAAAUAGCACAGUUACUUAGUUCAUUUUCAUGUCUUUUUUUUUUCAACUUUUGCAUAUACUAUAUAAACAUGAUUUGAACUUGUGAAUAAAUUGUUACUUUUAUAUCAAUUCAGGUUCUAUGAAAAAAAAAUGGAAAAGAUUAAAUCGUUUGUUAUCCUUGUCCACUAGAAUAUAUUAAAACCACGUUAUAUUAUAGAAACUUCAACCAAUAUUGGCUUCUCUUGUUUUGUAUAAUUUAUUUAUUUAUUUUAUAUAAAUUUGUAACCAAAAGAAUAAUAUGCUUGGCAAGAGGAAAGGGUUAACUAAGAUUUGCAUUCUAUCUCUCUCUCUCUCUCUAUAUAUAUAUAUAUAUAUAAAUAUAAAUGUUAAUUAGGUUUCAUAUAUGUGAUCUUUUGCUUAUUUAUAAAUUUACUUAUCAAUUGUUCAAAAAGAAAAAGAAAAGAACUAAGCUUAAUACACGAAUAAAAUUAGUAAUUGGGUAUAAUGUUAAAUUAUUGAAACACAUUUAUGAUUAAUUGGUGAGUAAAUUUUCAACCUUUUUUACCAAAUUUUCAUACAAAAAAAAUGUCCUACUGUAUAUAUAUUUUCAGGUCCUUGGAAACAUUAUUGCACCAAAAACCAAUACGUGGACAAAAUGUGAUAAUGGUUGCUGGCUGUGCUUCUCACACGUAGCUGGUCUUACUGUUGAUGGAACUGGUCAAAUGGAUGGCAACGGUGCUGCUUGGUGGAAUAAAGUACAAUGCAUACUUAAUUUUAUUGUCCAUUAAUUAAUUAUAAACUAAUUAAAUAAUUCUUCUAAUUCAAUUUAUUUUUCAGACGCCAAAAGAGUGUGCACCAGCGGUAAGUUUGUCUUGCAUAUCAUAAAAUUGAGAUUAAUUAAUUUCAUAAAUUAUCUUGGCCAAUUAAUUUUGUUUAAGAAAUUAAUUAUUGAUGCAGGUUAUUUCUUUCGACAAUUGCAAUAAUCUUAAUUUUCAUGGAAUCACUUCUUUAAAUAGUCCUGGAAAUCACGUUAGCGUGAAUAGAUGCAAAGAAGUGGAUAUAUCACAUAUUCAACUAAUUGCACCCAAAGAUAGUCCCAACACUGAUGGGAUUGACAUCUCCUCAUCCACUGCUCUGCGAAUUUCAGACUGUUUCUUUGGAACCGGUAUAUAUAUAGACUUAUGUAUUUUUAUAUAAUGUUGUUUUCACAUUGUCAGUAUCUCUUUUUUUAAAAAUUAUUAUUUUAUUUAUAAUAUAGGAGAUGAUUGUAUAGCUAUCAAUGGCGGUUCCUCUCAUAUCAACAUCACUCGUCUUACAUGUGGACCAGGCCAUGGAAUUAGGUAAUUUUUUAUUAAUUAAUUUAGCAUAUAAAUAUAUAUAUAUGAAUUUUUUCUAAAAUAAUUUAUCAACUUCUGCUUGUGAUUGUAGUGUGGGAAGUCUUGGAAAAAAUGGGAAAAACGAAACAGUGCAAUGGGUGCAAGUGGAGAAUUCUAUCUUCAAUGGAACUCAAAAUGGAGCUAGAAUCAAGACAUGGACGGUAGUUAUUUUUAUUAUCAUUCUUAAAAGAUUGAUCAAGAAAACUUCUUAAUUUCUUCUCAAUAACAUUAAAUUUUUUUUAGUUUUUUUGUUCUGUAUAUAGGAUGGUGCUGGAUUUGCAAGGAAUAUUUCCUUUGUUGGCGUUCAACUCAUAAACGCUGAAAACCCUAUCAUUAUUGACCAACACUAUUGUCCUCACCAAACAUGUCAACCUGAAGGGGUAAACAUACACAAUUCGUGUUGGAAUUUUUUUAUGAAUAAAAUUUUACUAAUUAAUUAAUUAUAAUGUAUACAUGCAGAAAACAGCAGUAAAGAUAAGCAAUGUGAGAUUUAGUGGAUUCGAAGGGACAUCCGCUACUGAGGUUGCUAUCAAACUGGAUUGCAGUGGUAUAGUUCCUUGCACUGGUAUCACUCUGAACAACAAUAUGAUAACUUCAUCAACUCCUGGAAAGAAGGUUAAAGCUGAAUGCAAUAAUGCUCAUGUCUCUUCCACCUUAACAACUCCCUCAGUCACUUGCUUAAUACCUAAACACAUCAUUUAUUACUCCAAAGCUUAAUGAAAGUACGUACGAGCAGUGAUCUAGAAUGUAUAGGUAGACACUUAAUUUGAUUCAGAUUCGGAUCAAUUAGAUCGAAUUUAAAUGAAUAGGUCCAUUUUAUAUUUUUAUUUUAUUUUAUAUUUUAUAUUUAUUAUUAUUAUUUUUAUAUAUAUAUUUUUUAUUUUUAUCUUAUGUAUUUAUUAUUUAUUUAUUUAUUAUUAUUAUUUAUUUAUAUAUAUUUAUUUCAUUUUUUUGUUAUUUAUCUGUUAAUGUAUAUAUUUAUUAUUUAUUAUUUAUCUAUUAUUAUAUAUAUUUAUAUUUAUCUGAUUAUAUUAUAAUUUAUCUAUUAUUUAUUUUUAGUUAUCUGUUAAUAUUAUCAUUUAUCUGAUUAUUUUUUUAAUUAUCUAUUAGCAUUUUUUUGGUUGAAAUUUGAGGAAUCCUACCGUAAAUGGGGUUCAAUCAGAGUCCAUAUUAGAUUCAAUGAUUGAAUCCCAAUCCAAAGAGGAUUUGGGAUUGAUCAGAAACUCUUCUGAUCAAUCCCUAUAAAAAGACCCACGGAUCAAAGGAAGAACAGGGAGAAAAAAAAGAGAUACUGGCUGAUAGAGAAAAAGGAACACACAGAGAAGAUUUGAAAGUUGAAAUAGGGUUUAGAGGCGUUAUAAUAGCUCUAGGAAUCGGUGAAAAAUUUUUGAAAAAUUUUUUACGAAUUUUUUUUAGAAAUUUUUGAAAAAUUUUUAAAUUUCGGUUGAAUUUUUCAACGAAGAUUGAAUUUUUCGGUGACUUUUCUGGCCAAGUUUGAAUUUUUCGAUCAACUUCCCAAUUUUCGGCAACCAUUUCCAAAAAUCGAUCAGUUUUUCGGUGAACUUUCGGUGAAAAACUCAGAUUUCGAUGAAAAUUUUUAGAAUUCGAUGGGCAUUCAACCGGAGUUCUUCGAAUUUUUAAAGAGAAGGGAAAGAAGAAGAAGGAAGAGAGAGAGAUAGGGAAAGAGGAUUCUGCUGAAAAACAGAAGAAUUCGCCUUAUAUAUCCUCUUCAAAAUGACGUCGUUUCUACGUUAAGUAACCCAGAAGAUCCGCGCGUUUUGUCAAGAUCUGACCCGAUCCGAGCGUCGACCUGCGUUUAACCUGAGUGCGAGUCGUUUUUCGAGUCGAGCCGAGCCACGUCUCCGAGCCAUUUUUCUUCCUCAAGUCGAGCCGAGCCGAGCCGUUGUCGAAUCGUUUUCAGGUUUUUUUUUCAUUUUUUUAUAUUUAUUUAUUUAUUAUUAUUAUUUAUUGAUUAUAUUAUAUUUGUUUAAUACUUUUAUUUUAUUUUCCUUUAUUUUUAUUUUUAUUUUCAUUUUCAUUUUUUCUUUAUUUUAUUAUUUUAUUUUCUUUAAAUAAAAUUCAAAAAAAAUAUUUUUUAGGAAAAGUUAAAAGUAUCAAUUUUCCUUGAAAAUAAACGUUCCAAAAAUAUUUUUGAGAAAAAGUUGAAAGUAUCAAUUUUUCUUAAAAAUAAAUUUUCAAAAAAGAUUUUUUUCAGGAAAAGUUGAAAGUAUCAAUUUUUCUUAAAAAUAAAUUUUCAAAAAAAGGUUUUGAGAAAAAGUUGAAAGUAUCAAUUUUUCUCGAAAUUAAAGUUUCUAAAAAAUAUUUUGGAAAAAAGUUGAAAGUAUCAAUUUUUCCUACACAAAAGCAAUCAUUUUUUUUCUUCCUUUUUAUUUUCUUAAAUUUUUUUAAUGUUAAAUAAUCCGACGACGGAACCUCUGUAAGUGAAAUAGUAGUUUUCUUGCAUACUCUUGAGGUGAUGAGAUUUUUUCAAUUUUAUGCUAAAAGUAUUAAAGUCAAUUGAGAAUAAUUUUUAAUAAUUAAUUACUUGAUAAAUUUUUAAGGCUUAUUGGAUAACACAAAAUUAAGCUGGUACCAUUUUUUGAUGGGCAUUGUGAGGGUGCUAUAACCUUCCUCACACGUAACCGAACUCUAGAACCCUGUUCUGGUUAGUAGACCCGAACCUAUUCUUUUAGAGACCCUUAAACUUAGGUGUUCCCUGAAAAGAUAGAUUCCUUAGGUGGCCAAUCACACCUAGAUAAAAAAGAUUAGUGGUGACUCCUUCAAGCCAAUGUCUAAUGAUAGAUUUCCGAAUCUAGACGUUAUGACAGCUUGGUGACUCUGCUGGGGUAGUCCGAGAGUCAAGCCAGCAAAUAAAUUUGUAUUAUCCAAAAACCUAAUAAAAUUGAAUCUUUUGUAUAGAUUUUUUUAUUCGUUCAUGUUUAUUUACUUUAUUAAUCAUGUCAUUCAUAUGCAUGUGCAUAACAUGAGCUCUAUACCCGAGCUCCGUCUCUCUAGGAGGAAGUAAAGUACCUAUUGCUUUCAUGAGGUUUAAUACCUCCGUAGUGGCUAGCGAAAUACUCCCACUCAAAUUGAACAUUUUUCGCUUGUAGCCUGUAAUGGGUGAGGAUUGGGGUACCUUACUAGUUUAUGAUGGACAAUGAUGUAAGGAGCAAUUUGGGAACCUUUAGACUUUGACCUUAAACCACAUAUAGUGAACCUUAAGAGUGUCUAACCUAUAGAUAGAGCUAUCGCUCUUCCCUUUUAGAAUUGACCAAAAGUAUAGGGUUCAUCCUCUUAUUCUGUGUGAUGUUUUAAUUUACUUAUUUAUUUAUUCUUUCUUUUUUCUAGGCAUACUAACCUUUUUCUCAUUCUUUUGCAUUGGUUUAUACACAUAUCAUAAAGUUGCAUAAAGAACAUUUGCUUGAAAGACAGUCUUCAACAAAACUUUUCAUGGACUCCACUGAACGACUAGUUUGUUCUUCAUCCGUAUUAGCACCUUGUGAGACACCCAACGUAGUCAAAGCCUAAUAAAAAAAGAUUCAACUGAAGAUAAGAGAUUAUUUACCAAUCGGAUAUGAUUCUAUUUUGUCUCAAGAAACAUCUAUCCUCUUCAAACAGAACAAUCUAGAAGAUUUGGUUGAUAUCUGAAAGAAGAUGAGUCUGUCAAGACAAGAGCAGUUUUGCCAGAGACACGAUCAUAUAGCACACCUUCUAGCAGUAGUUAUUGAUGAUCAACUAAUCAGAGCUGCAGCAUAAUUUUGGGAUCCUGUAUAUAAGUGUUUUAUCUUUAAUGAAGCUGAUAUGACUCUCACCAUCGAAGAAUAUUCAAUUUUAUUGAGUUUGCACCUCGAGGCUCCUGAUAAGAUAUAUGUCAAAAAACACAAGUCAAGAUUUCGUAAGGGUCUGGCUCAACUCAUGGGGAUAGACAAGGAAAUUAUGGAUUCUCAUACAAAGAAGAAACAAGAAUAGGUUUGCCUACCUUGGAAGUUCUUUCAUGAGUUUCUAGUGCAACAUGCCAAUGAAGAACGAGAGUUAGAUAUAUUUACCUUAGCCAUCUACGGAAUGGUGAUCUUCUCAAAGGUUUUGGUUAUAUUGAGAUAACGAUGGUUGACUUCUUCGAGAGUGUGAUCAAUGGCUGUAAUCUUUCAACGGUAAUAUUAGCAGAGACUAUAAAAUCUUUGAGUUAUUGUUCUCGAAAUGGAGGGUGCUUUAUAGGUUGUAUACAAUUAUUGUACUUAUGGAUAAAAAACCAUUUUAAAUAGGGAAAUGGUGCAUUCUCAAAUCUUUAUAUCUGUAAUCGAGCUCCGAUCAAAAAAUUCUGUGAAAGUGGGUGGUCAGAAUGAAAGUUUAAAAAAGAAUGGAUAACUUUUCUACAAAAGUUAACCAGUACCGAUGUAAGAUGGUUAGCCCCAUGGAUGAAUCAUGAACCUAUGUUAUACCAAUGUGGGGAUAAUAUAGUGGUCCCACUUUUGGGUUUUAUGGGGAGUGACAAAUUAUGCAUCACUCUUAGUGAAAAGGUAGUUUGGGGCAGAACAAUUCAUUCCUAUGACUUAUGGGGUUCAUCAGUUAGAUUUUUCUUACAGUGAGCCUAAAAUAUUUCAGAGGAUGAAUGAGAUAAUUAAAGCAUGGAAAAAUCCUUGAAGAGUGAGUUCUGGACCAUUUAUUGAUAAAGUCACUCCAGGGUACUUGGUUUGGAGAGCAAAACGAAGAUAAGAAAUGGUAUUCACUUAUGAAAGCUUUCAACCGCCAAAAGAAGAAAAACUUAAAGAGACACCAUCAGAAUUAGAGCUUGCAACAAAAGAAUUUGAGUCUGAAAAGGGUAAGUUAAAGCAAAAAAUCCAGAAGCUUCAAGAAAAAAGCACCCAAUGAAAAGAUAAAGCUGAAAGUCAUGAAGCUAAAGUUUGCAAGAUUACUAAAGAACGUGAUAUAGCUGUUGAAGACCUAGCAGAGUUACACCAAGAGCAUAAAAGGUUAUGUGUGAGAGAAAGGACCAAAGAGAUAACUAUUGUUGAGCUGACUGAAGAAAAUAGAAGAUUGAAGCAAGAGUAUGCUGAAUUGGAAGAAGAAAGUACCUAAGUACAGACAAAGAAUAACAUACUAAACAAUUAUUUGAGUAGGCUAAGGUAAAAGUUGAAAGAACAAGAAGACCACAUUGCUGUAUUGGUUAAGGAGCAUAGAGAAUUAUCGUACAAAGUCUAGUGUGGUAAAAGAGAGAACUUGGAAAGACAAAAAUACAUUGAGCACCUAACCCAAAUCUAUAAAGGGAUAUGCAAGGUAAGAGAGAUGGUGGAAAAGGCAAAGGCAUUGAAACAAAUGGUGACCCCAGUAGGAGAACAUGGACAGCGUCUGUUGAACUUCAUUGAGAAAGCCAAGGCCUAGUAUGAACAGAUCAAACAAUUUUAUGGUUAUAGUUUUAGGAUGAUAAACUCAAUGUAAAUAAAAGUUUUUUGGAAUAAAUGAAAUCUUUAGGUUAAAUACUGUUUUUAAGGCAAAUGUUCUUUGCAUACAUGUAUUUUUCAUUCAUUGCAUUCUUAUUCAUUACAUUUAACAAAAUAACCAUGUGAUAAUCAUGCAAAUUUACUAAUUCUAAGAUAUGGUACUCAAGGUUCAAGGAUAGCUCCAUCUAACGAGAACCCUGUCCAUCGAUACAACACAAGAUCCAAGGCCAGACAAAAGAGCAAAAAAAUUCUCACAGAUUUGAAAAGCUAGAAAAAGUACAGGAAAAGAUUGAAAAUGAGUUGAACAAGAUUUUGGAUGCUAUCAAUAAGCUGAAUAAGGGAAAAAAAGUUGAAAAAAAUACAAGCCAACAAGUUUCCUCAUUACAAGAAGUGGCUGACCCUUUGUACCCUCUAGGUUUUUAUCCACCUCAAACUCAGUCUGUACAAGAGGUUCUACUGUAACAUUUCGCAUAUCCUAUAUAUCCUGGAAUACCAUCAGCUUCCAACCUAGGGUAUUAUCAUGCUAUGUAAAUCUUGUCUUUAUUGAAAAGAUAGUAGAACUGAUUCCUAAUCUAGAUGAUUUGAAAGAGAAGGAAAAAGAAAAGAUAAGAGUGAAAACUCAAGAAAGCUCUAAAAUUAGUAUGCUAGAACAAAGGCUGCGGGUUGUAGAAGGAAUUGGUUUCUAUGGUUCAGUUGAUGCUGCUGGGUUUUGCUUAGUCCCUGAUGUGGUCAUUCUUUCUAAGUUCAAAGUACUAAAAUUUGAAAACUAUGAUAGUACCAAGUGCCUAAAAACUCAUAUCACCAUAUAUUGUCGGAAGAUGGCAGCUCAUGCUUAUGAUGAAAAACUCUUGAUGCAUGUUUUUCAAGAUAGCCUUAUAGGCUCUGCUGCUAGGGGGUAUGUUCAGCUAGACAGAACUCGCAUUCACUCUUGGAGUGAUAUGGCUCAUGACUUCAUCAGUCAAUAUCGACAUAUUAUUGAUUUGGCUCCUGAUCAUUUAUUUUUAUAGAACUUAGAGAAAAAGGUAAAUGAGUCUUUAAAGAAUAUGCCCAGAGAUGGAGAGAUUUAGCUUUUCAAGUACAAGCUCUUCUGAUUGAAAAAAAGACUACAGUGCUAUUUGUUAGCACUUUGAAACCUCCCUAUUAUGAAAAAAUGAUAAUGAAUGCAAUAAAAAUUUUACUAAUAUGGUAAUUUUGAGAGAAAUUAUCGAGAGUGCCAUCAAGAAUGGUAAGCUGAAAGGAAGUGAAGCAUCUAGCAAGAGAGUCUCGAAAAAGAAAGAGACUGAAGCUCAGGCUAUGAGCUUUGAUAAACAGCAAUUUGGGAGUUAUCAAUCUUACUCACCACAAGGAUACUUGCCAUAUUACCCUACUAUAAAUAACACUUCCCCUUACCCAUACCAACCAUUUGUACAGUCACCUUAUCCCCAAACAUAUCAACCUCCUCCUAAGCCUCAGAAUACCACAUAUAGUCCUAACACUCAACUUACCCCAAAACUUCAAAAUUGUCCAACUAACCCCAUGGGUGGUUCACGAGAGCAAUGAACUACCCGUGAAAAAUCUGUAUUUGACCGAAUUUCAAUGACUUAUACAAAAUUAUAUAAGGAGCUUUACAACAGUCAUUUGAUUGCUCUUAGUAAAUUAGAACCCCUCAAACCACUUUACCCUAAGUGGUAUGAUCCCACAGCCUACUGCGACUAUCAUUAUGAGAUUGCUGAUCACUCCACUGAAAAUUACAUCGUCCUAAAACAAAAAGUGCAAUGGUUGAUCAAGGAUGGAAUGAUUUGCUUUGAUAUGGGAGGAGUGACUGCACUGAAUGUUAGUGGUAAUUUUUUGUCGAAUCAUAAUGUGAAUGCUAUAAGUGAAGAACAGGAGUGCCAUAUGAAGAAAGAAGUGGUAGAUAUUAAGACACCUCUUAAUCAACUGUUUGAUAUUUUAUGAAAAGCUGACAUGAUACAACUAGUGAGUCCACACAGUUAUCAUAGAGUAUAUAUAGUCGGCACUAGUUGUAAAUAUCAUAGUGGGGCAAUAGACCACUCUAUUGAAACCUGCGAGCAGUUUCACCAAGAGGUGUAAAAACUCUUAGAUUCAUACCAGAUAGAGGUCUAUGAAAGAAGCAAAGACUUAAGAAGUGUUGAGGUAUCCAUGACUGAUAAGCCUGUAAAGUUGUUUCCAAAGUCGGUGGCAAUCUAUUGUGGGAACAAACCAAAGUCCAUCAUAGACAAACUCAUUUUCAGGCUGAUAACUUUUAAAGUUUUGACUCUCUUCUUAUACAAGGAUGAUAAAGCUGUACCCUGGAGAUAUGACUGUGAUACAGUAGUUCAGGGGUAAGAAGAGGAUGUCUCUAAAGCUAACACUUCUAAUAUAACUGGUGUAGGAGGUAUUUCCCGAAGUAAAAGGUGCUACACUCUAGAAAUGUUAGAGAAGGCUCGAAGAAAGAGGGCCAAUAAAAGAGAAGGGUGAAAUAAUCCUGAAAUAAAACCUGAAAAAGAUCGUCUGAAAUCGGUAUCAGAAAAAAAGGUUUGUGAAUUUUUGAAACUGAUAAAACAUAGUGAGUAUUCAGUUGUUGAACAGUUGAAUAAAAUGCCAGCUCGAAUCUCAUUGCUAUCACUACUGUUAAACUCAAAGCCACACCGAAAUAUCUUACUGAAAGUGUUGAAUUAGGCAUACAUGGCACAUAAUGUAUCUGUUGAAUGUGUGAAUCACUUGGCUGGAAAUUUAGUCAUGUCGAAUCACAUUUCGUUUAGCGAUAAUGAGAUUUCUUUGGAGGGAAAGAGAAAUGCCAAGGUUCUGCAUAUCACGAUCAAGUGUAAGAGCCAUAUCAUAGCCAAGUUCCUUAUUGAUAAUGGCUCUAUUAUCAAUGUCAUGCUUAUGUCAACUUUGGAGAGGUUACCCAUUAAUUACUCUCAUAUGAAGGACAGUCAGAUAAUUGUGAGAGCUUUUGAUGAAACCAGAAGAAAAGUCUUGAGGGAUAGCGAGAUGCCCUUGCAAGUUGCCAUGUACUUUUAAUAUGAAGUUUCAAGUGAUGCAUAUCUCUCCAUAUUAUAGCUGUCUAUUGAGAAGGCCAUGGAUUCACAUGGCAGGAGUUGUACUUUUUACCUUAUACCAAAAGAUCAAGUUUAAUGUAGAAGGUCAACUAGUAGUGGUAGUUGUGGAGGAAGACAUACUAGUGACCCAACCAUUAAAUACUUCAUAUGUAGAGGCUGUCGAAAAAGUAUUAGAAUGCUCCUAUCAAUCUUUUGAGCUAGUUAAUUCCAUAGGUGAAGGAUUUAAAAAUCAACCUUUUUCAAGGAUAGUGAUGAGCCAAAUCAUCAAUAAGGGCUGGUAUCUAGGACUGGGGCUGGGCAAGAACUUGCAGGGAAUAAAGGAACCCCGACGGUGAUAGAUAAUAGCGACAAGUUAGGCCUAAGCUAUGAGAUGGCAGAAUGGGAGAUCAAGAGAAGGCUAGCAGGAAAGAUAGCAAGAUUAAUGGUUAUCCCACACCUGCAUAAAACUUUCAGACCUGGAGGAUUCAUGUACCCAGAUACAAGAAAAAACGUGAAAAAUAUUUUUGCCCAAUUAACCAUUGAUGCUAUUGAAAAUGAAGUAGAGAUUAAUCAAGAGGGGUGGGUCUGUCUUUGUCACCAGAUUAUGAGCUGAGCAACUGGAGUGCCAUUGAAGUGCCUAUGAUUGUUGAAACUAAUACAAUAUAAUUGUAAUAUCCCAAUAGCUAUUGCCCAAGGUAUUGGGGUGAUCUUUCUUCUUUGGGCUAUUUAUCUUUUAUUAUUUUUAAUAAAAAUUAGGAAAGAUGUAUUUUCAUUCAUUUUUUUGUGUCUUCAUUAUUCCUAUCUUUUCAAGCACAUCUUGCCAAUAUAUCCCAUUUCAUUCAAUUUCAAGUCUUUAAAUGAACAUGAAGAUAAUUAUGAUAAUAAUCAAGAAGUUAGUUUUGAGAACUCAAUUAACACUGAUGAACUUGACAAUGAAGAGAAUUCUGAGGAAUAUGUUAUGCCUCCGGAUAUAAUGAGUUUGAUUGAAUAAGAAAAUAAGCCAAUUGAGCUGUAUCAAGAUAUAGUUGACUUAGUGAAUCUGAGAGAUGAAGAGAAUUAAAAAGAUGUCAGAAUUGACACUUCACUUUCAUCAAGAGAUAGACAAUGAUUGGUAGAUCUACUUCGAGAAUUUGUAGAUGUAUUUACUUGAUCUUACCAGGAUAUGCUAGGGUUGAGCACGGAGAUAUGGAGCACAGAUUACCCCUAAAGUUAGAAUCUAAGCCAGUUCAACAGAAACUGAGACGAAUGAAGCCUGAAAUGUUACUAAAGAUAAAAAAAGAGGUGAAGAAAUAAUUUGAUGCAGGUUUUCUACAAGCGGCUAAGUAUCCAGAGUGGGUAACCAAUAUAGUACCCGUUCUUAAUAAAGAUAGAAAGAUAUAAAUAUGUGUAGACUAUCGUGACUUCAAUAAGGCUAGUCCAAAAGAUAACUUUCUUUUACCUUAUAUCGACACACUGGUAGAUAAUAUGGCUAGGCAUUCAAUUUUCUCCUUUAUGGAUGGUUUUUCAGGGUAUAAUAAGAUAAAAAUGACUGCAGAUGAUAUAAAAAAGACUACUUUCGUGAUUAUGUGAGGAACCUUUUGCUACAAGAUCAUGCCUUUUGGGUUAAAGAAUACUGGAGUAACAUAUCAAAAGGCCAUAGUAACAUUCUUUCUUGACAUGAUGCACAAAAAGAUCGAGGUGUAUAUAGACGAUAUAAUUGUAAAAUCUUGUGAGGAUGAAGAUCAUGUCACCGACCUCAAAAAGUUAUUUGAGAGGUUAAGAAGAUUUCAGCUUAAGUUAAACCCAGUCAAGUGCACAUUUAGGGUAAAGUCAAGAAAAUUACUAGGCUUUGUGGUCAGUGAAAGAAGAAUUGAAGUCGAUCCAAAUAAGAUACGGGCUAUUCAGAAUUUGUCACCUCCCAGCACACCAAAAGAAGUUUGAGAUUUUCUAGAGAGAUUGAACUAUAUUUCUCGAUUUAUUUCUCAGCUCACUUACAAAUAUGAUCCCAUAUUUAAGCUUCUUUGCAAGAAUAAUCUUGAAAAAUGGAAUAAGGAAUGUCAAGAGGCGUUUGAUAAAAUUAAGCAAUACUUUUCAAACCCUUCAAUGUUGGUGCCAUUUGUUCCAGGGAAACUUUUAAUUCUAUACUUGACAGUAUGUGAAAAUUCAAUGGGAUGUGUGCUGGGGCAACAAGAUGAGUCUAGUUGAAAGGAUAGAGCUAUUUAUUAUUUGAGUAAAAAGUUCACAGAGUACGAAUCCAAGUAUUCUUCAUUGGAGAAAAUGUGUUAUGUAUUAGCGUGGACUGCCAAAAGACUCAGACAGUAUAUGCUCUAUCAUAUCACAUGACUCAUAGCAAAAUUGGAUCCAAUUAAAUAUAUCUUUGAGAAGCUUUCUUUGUCUGAAAGAAUUACUCGAUGACAAGUAAUGCUCUCGGAGUAUGAUAUUAUAUAUGUGAGCUAAAAGGCAAUAAAAGGGGGCACUAUAGCAGAAUUUUUUUAUAGAUCGUACUACUGAAGAGUAUGAACCAAUGAAGUUAAAAUUUCCUGAUGAAGACCUAAUGACUAUUUCCUAACUGGAGAAAAGAGAGCAUGGAGAAAAAUGCUGGAGAAUGUAUUUUGAUGGAGUGCCAAUGCCUUGGGACAUAGAAUUGGGACAAUUCUGAUCUCUCCAAAAGAAUAAUACUGCCCUAUAACAACAAGGUUAAAUUUUAAUUGCACAAAUAACAUUACUGAAUAUGAGAAAUGCAUCAUGGGCUUACAAGCUGCUAUAGCUAAGAGAGUGAAAGUAUUAAAAGUGUUUGGAGACUCAGCUCUAGUUAUAUAUCAGUUGAAAGAGGAAUGAGAGAUGAGAGAUUCAAAACUCAUUUCAUAUUAUAAGUAUAUUCUAGAGUUGAUGAAACAAUUUGAAGACAUCCAGUUUGACCACUUACCUCAAGAAGAGAAUCUGAUUGCUGAUGCAUUGGCUACUAUGGUUGUAAUGAUUCGAAUUAAUGAUAAUAUUGACAUUCAACCCAUCAAGCUAGAUGUUAAAGAGAUACCAGCUCAUUGCUCCAAUAUAGAAAAAGAAAAAGAUGGGAAGCCUUGGUAUUAUGAUAUCCUACAAUAUGUUAAGGAUCAGCAAUACCCAGUUCAAGCAAUAAAAAAUGAUAAAAGGGUCAUCCGAAGGUUGGCUAUGAGCUUUUUCCUAGAUGGGGAUGUUUUGUAUAAAAAAAAUUAGGAUCAAGUAUUACUUAAGUGCGUAAGUAAGGCUGAAGCGAGGAAAAUCAUUGAAGAGGUGCAUGAUGAAAUAUGUAGGGUACAUACCAGUGGACAUAUGAUGACGAGACAUAUUAUGAGAGCAGGAUAUUACUGGUUGACAAUGGAGAGUGAUUGCAUUGAUUAUACUUGUAAGUGCCAUAAAUGCCAGAUAUAUGCUGAUAAGAUUAAUGUUUCGACAUCUGCUUUACAUGUUAUAACACCACCUUGGCCAUUCUUAAUGUGAGGCAUGGAUGUCAUUGGUCCUAUCACCCCAAAGGCUUCUAACGGGCAUAGAUUCAUUUUUGUGAUGAUAGAUUACUUCAUAAAAUAGGUAGAGGUAGCAUCGUAUGCAAGUGUAACACGAUCUGUGAUUUACAAGUUCAUAAAGAGAGAUAUCAUCUGUAGAUAUAGACUUUUAGAGAGAAUUAUUUCAGACAAUGCCAAGAAUCUAAAUAGUAAGAUGAUGCAAGAAAUGUAUGCUUAAUACAAGAUCAAGCAUCAUAACUCGACACCAUACCAUUCGAAAAUGAUGGGGACAGUUGAGGCAGCCAACAAGAACAUAAAAAAGAUUCUAUAGAAGAUGAUUAAGACUUACAAAAACUGACAUGAAAAAUUACCAUUUGUGUUGCACGUAUAUCGAACAUCAGUGCGCACCUCUACUGGGGUAACCUCAUUUUUUUAACUCCAUACUUACUUAAUUUAGUUAAUCCAACGGUGAUGCCUAACCUCGAUAUUCAAACUUUUAUAAAGAGGUAUUACACUUUAUUAGAUUAUAUAUCUUCUGUUUCUUCAUAAGUAAUUUUAUUUAUGUAUUAAGUAAUUUUUUUCUUUUCAAUUUAGGAUAAUAUUUGCAUUCGAUAAGAAGAUAAAGAAACUGAAAUGGAUGUCAUUAUCGAUAAAUAUAAAAUAUAUUCUUUUAUGCUAAGUUUGUGUAGAUAAAUAUUUCUUAAACCCACUCAAUUUAAUUUUCAGGUACCUCGUCAACCGGAUAAUAUUGAAUAUAGAUAUUAUGUCCUUCAUUUUAUGCGAAAGAUAGUGUUACAUGAUUUUAUGACCACACCAUUCAAGGUUAGUAUAAAUUUCAUAAACUCAUUAUAUCUUAAAAAAAUAAAAAGGUACAUUAUGUUCUCAUUUCUUAGCAUUUACUUUUGAUUUUUUUUUUAGUGGGAGAGUAAAGAAAGCUUUAGGAAGAGGAAUUGGAUGAAGUCCAUAAAGAAUGGUGUGCUCAUGUAUUAUCAUUUAUCAAUGUUGAUAAACCAUCAGGUUAGACAUUGUUGGUUGAAUGUAAAUAUAUAAGGAACAAAUUGUUAUAAUGUUUUAAACAUGCCAUGUUGAAUGUAAACUUUAAGUUUGUACAUUGACGAAUUGGUUUAAUAUUAUUGUUAUACUUAAUAUGAAUACACUAUGUGUAUUUAAUAAAUUAUUGAGUAUGAUUAUUUUAGAAAAGUAUAUUAAUAUGGUAACGUUAUCAGUUUUAAUUUCAGAUGUGUCAUCAAUUUAUUGAAAUACAACAAUAUUCAUUAUGUAAAUUCCAAAAUGUAAUUCGUAGUAUCACAUAUAUAAACCAAAUAUUUUCUAUGCAUUAAUAAACAACAGACAGUAAACGUUUUUUAGGCAUAAACCUAUAACUGACUUGACAUAUACAAUAUCAAAUAUGUUUUUUUUGAUGGGAUUAAGGAAGGUGUUUUUAACAAGAAAUUGCUUUGAAUAAUCCCUAAUAAAAAAUUUUGAAGGCAUUUUUAACCAAAACUGCCUUCAAUAAUCACCCAAAAAAUUUAUUAUGUGAAAUAUUAAAGGUGUUUUAGGCAAAAUAUGCCUUCAAGAAUUCAUUGCAUCUUUUUUGUAUGGAUUAUUGAAUGCGUUUUAAAAAAAAUACCUUUAAUAAUACCAACUAAAAAUUAAUCGAAUAGAUUAUGAAAGUUGUUUUCCUACAGGUAACGUCUUGAAUAAUCCAUAACAAAAUAUUAUUGAAGGCGUUUUUGGAUAUAAUCGCCUUUAAUAAUCCGACCAUUAAAAUUUAUUGUCUUGAAUAUUAAUGGCGUUUUAGGCAAAAAAAUACCUUCAAGAAUCUGUCUCAUCUUUUUUGUAUAAAUUAUUGAAGGCUUUUUAAACAAACGCCUUCAAUAAUACUAAUUAAAAAUUAAUCGAAUGGAUUAUGAAGGGCGUUUUCCUAUAGGUAACACCUUAAAUAAUCUAUAAGAAAAUGUUAUUGAAGGCGUUUUUUGAUAUAAUUGCCUUCAAUAAUUUGACCAUUAAAAUUUAUCAUUUAGAAUAUUAAAGGUGUUUUGAGCCAAAAACGUCUUUAAGCAUCCGUUCAAACUUUUGUCUAUGGAUUAUUGAUGGCAUUUUUAACAAAAAUCGCCUUUAAUAAUCAUAACAAAAUUUUAUUGAUUGUAUUAUAAAAAGUGAGUUCAGCCAAAAAUGCCUUCAAGAAUCGAUUCAUAUUUUUCCUAUGGAUUAUUAAGGGCGAUUUUCGCAAAAAAUUGCCUUCAAUAUUUUCUGUAAAAUUUUUUAGAGCAAUUGGUGAACAUUUUUUUGCCAAGAAAAUGCCUAGAAUAAUCAAUUACAAAUAUCUCUGGAAAAACCCAAAAAAGGCUAAAGGGAGAGAUCAAACCUACAACCUUAUGGUUAACAUCCGUACAAUCCAAACAUUUUGAUAUGAUAUUUAUUGAAUGCGUUUUUGAACAAAAACGACUUCAAAAACGCCUUCAAUAAGUCUGUGAAAUUUUUUGGUCCAAUUGUUAAAGGUGUUUCUUGUACAAAAUGCCUUCAAUAAUCUCAUACAAUUUUUUAUUAGGUGAUUAUUGAAGGCGUUGUUUGCCAUAAACACGCCUUUAGUAUUCACUGAAAUUUUUAAGACAGAAUUAUUCAAGGCGUUUUAGUUGAAAAAUGCUGCUGAUAUCAAGUCUUGGGUAGCGUUUAUAAGUAACAACGUCGCUAUUUAAAUAUUUAGUGGCGUUUUGAUAAUAAACGCCUUAAGUUUUAUAAAAACAAUGAAGCUAAAGGCGUUUGUAAGUGAAAGGCCGCUACAAAACUGUCGCUAAUAUGCUAUUUUCUUGUAGUGUUUGUCAAAUUAUAAUUAUUUUGGUUCAAACAUAAUUAUUUAAAAUAUAAAUAAAAUUAAUAUAAAAAUUAAUUUUACUCAUUAAUAAUUAAAAUUUUCUAUCCAAUGUGAGAUGCACCACAUUCUAAAUUGUCAAUAAAAUCAUCCAAGACUAUAUUUCAUUCUAGGAUAUAAAAUGUGAGAACAUCUAAUUUUUGCGGAAAUCAUGGAAGCUCCGGUCAAUAUUUGUACUCCGCUGUUUUGCUAUUUGGUGUUAUGCCAUCGGCCGGAACCAGCCAAAGAGCGCUCACUUCGGCAACUUCUAUCUAAGUGACACCAUUGCACGCACGUUGCAGUUGUAUAUAGAUAAUGCCGGCUUAAUCCAGCUUCCAUUUUCAUCUUGAUCCUAGCCUGCAUGAAGUCUUUAUCUACUGACUUUUUUCAGCAUUUACUUUGGCAACAAGGCUUGUUCAGGUUUUAUAUCUUAGACAUCGAUCCCUGGCUCUCUUGGCAAAGCAUAUCAGCUCUUGUCACAGACAUCUGUGCUCUAAAGCAUGUUGAGAACGUGAGGACAAAAAAAAAAAAAGACUGCACAUAGAAGCCUGGGAGAGUUAGAAUCAUCAGAACUUGCAUGAUCAGCAAAACUACUGUCAAUGUUCAAGUGGAAAUUAGCUAUUUUCAGCGUUAUUGCGUUUUAGGCGUACCCAAGGCGAGUGACAAUAUUCAACAUGAAGGGUCACCACACAUCAGACAAAACCUGGCAAAGUAAGUGUCUGAUAUGAGAAAUGCAUUUGAUUGGUCACGGCCUUAAACUUCAAGGCAUGUUUCAAAGGCAAUCCGAGGAAUAUUUGAUUUCCAAUUUUCUUUGUUACUUCUUACAAAGAUUUCCGUAGUUACUAUUCCAAGAUUUUCUUUGAUAUUAGAUUUCAUCUUAUCCCCAACUUAUAUUCCAAGAUCGAUUAAAAAUUAAUGCUUGAGGAUAAAAACAAAAGUACAUAUAUCUAUACACGUAGAUCAAUAAAAUAUAAAAGAAAAUUAAUUGGAUUAACAUGUUAUUUGCAUGGAUAAUGGGGUUUUAAUUUCUGUAAUUCAAAAUUAUUGAAUUAACCCAACUUGUACAUAUGCACCGCCUUAUUACGUAUAGGAUAAUGAUAUAUCCUUGCAAUUUUCAAUAAUCACUCAAGUUAUUAUGGUUUUAUCUUUUAUUGCUAAAUUAGUUUUUUUAAUUAAUUAAAUUCCUCAAAAUACAUGCGCACGUACCUCUAUAAAAAGCACACAAACUAGCAAUUGCAUGAAGUCAUAUACUGUGAGAAAUUAAGAACACAAAACCCUACUGAUAACUUCCUUUCAACCAAGAAAAUAAUUGAAGCAAAGGCUUUCAGUUUCAGUGUGAUGGUAAGGAUCAAGGCUUUCAUCUUUGAAAAACCUUGGUUUCAUGGCUAGCUACUUUUUAUGAAUGUACAUUAAAGGUUUUCUUGAUAUCCCCUUCUUUCUUCUCUGCAGGCAUUGCUAGUUAUUGCUUUUUUUAUUUUGAACUUUGGUUUUGGGAUUGGUAAUUGCCAAUCCCUUAAUGUCAUCAAUUUUGGGGCUGUUGGAGAUGGAAGAACAGAUGAUUUACUGGUAAAUUUUUCAUCUUUUUUAAGCUUAAUUUAAGCUGCAUGUACGUACAAUAUUGUACAUGCAUGUUUUUUUGUAUACUGCAUAUAGUAUAUUCCUAUUUAAUUAUUUUCUUUUUGCUCUCUCUCUCUCUCUCUCUCUCUCUAUAUAUAUAUAUAUAUAUAUAUAUAUACGAUUAUAUCUGAUCUUACUAAUAAUUAUGUGCUAAUUUUGAAUAUGUAGGCUUUUUCAAAAGCGUGGACAGCUCUGUGUGCAGCAACUAAUAAUCCAACCUUGGAAAUCCCUUCUGCCAAAACUUUUUUGCUGAGUUCUAAAAUUGCUUUUUCCGGUCCUUGCAAGUCAAAAUCCAUUCAUAUUAAGGCAAAUAGCACAGUUACUUAGUUCAUAUUCAUGUCUUUUUUUUUUUUUUUUCAACUUUUGCAUAUAUUAUAUAAACAUGAUUGGAACCUGUGAAUAAAUUAAUACUUUUAUAUCAAUUCAGGUUCUGUGAAAGAAAAAAAAAAGGAAAAGAUUAAUUCGGUUGUUAUCCUUGUCCGCUAGAAUAUAUUAAAACCACGUUAUAUUAUAGAAACUUCAACCAAUAUUGGCUCCUCUUGUUUUCUAUAAUUUAUUUAUUUAUUUUAUAUAAAUUUGUAACCAAAAGAAUAAUAUGCUUGGCAAGAGGAAAGGGUUAACUAAGAUUUGCAUUCUAUAUUUUUACAUAUAUAUAUAUAUAUCGUAUAUGUUAAUUAGGUUUAUGAUCUUUUGCUUAUUUAUAAAUUUAUUUAUCAAUUGCUCGAAAAAACAAAAAAAAAAAGAAAAGAGCUAAGCUUAAUACACGAACAAAAUUAGUACUAGGGUAAUUGGGUAUACAUAUCUAUGAUUAAUGGUAAGUAAAUUUUCAACCUUUUUUACCAAAUUUUCAUACAAAAAAAAUGUCCUACUGUAUACAUAUUUUCAGGUCCUUGGAAACAUUAUUGCACCAAAAAGCAAUACGUGGACAAAAUGUGAUAAUGGUUGCUGGCUGUGCUUCUCAAACGUAGCUGGUCUUACUGUUGAUGGAACAGGCCAAAUAGAUGGCAACGGUGCUGCUUGGUGGAAUAAAGUAUAAUGCAUGCUCAAUUUUUUUUUAUUUUACAUUUUAUUGUCCAUUAAUUAAUUAAUUAUAAACUGACUAAAUAAUUCUUUUAAUUCAAUUUAUUUUUCAGACACCAAAUGAGUGUGCACCAGCAGUAAGUUUGUCUUGCUUAUCAUAAAGUUGAGAUUAAUUAAUUUCAUAAAUUAUCUUACCCUAUUAAUUUUUUUUAAGAAAUUAAUUAUUGAUGCAGGUUAUUUCUUUCGACAAUUGCAGUAAUCUUAAUUUUCAUGGAAUCACUUCUUUAAAUAGUCCUGGAAAUCACGUAAGCGUGAAUAGGUGCAAGGAAGUGGAUAUAUCACAUAUUCAACUAAUUGCACCCAAAGAUAGUCCCAACACUGAUGGGAUUGACAUCUCCUCAUCCACUGCUCUUUCGAAUUUCAGACUGUUUCUUUGGAACCGGUAUAUAUAUAUAUUUAUAUAUAUAUAUAUAUAUAUAGAGAGAGAGAGAGAGAGAGAGAGAGAGACUUACGUAUUUUUAUAUAAUGUUGUUUUCACAUUGUAAGUAUGUCUUUUCUUAAAAAUUAUUAUUUUAUUUAUAAUAUAGGAGAUGAUUGCAUAGCUAUCAAUGGCGGUUCCUCUCAUAUAAACAUCACCCGCCUUACAUGUGGACCAGGCCAUGGAAUUAGGUAAUUUUUUAUUAAUUAACUUAGCAUAUAUAUAUAUAUAUGAAUUUUUUCUAAAAUAAUUCAUCAACUUCUGCGUAUGAUUGUAGCGUGGGAAGUCUUGGAAAAAAUGGGAAAAACGAAACAGUGGAAUGGGUGCAAGUGGAGAAUUCUAUCUUCAAUGGAACUCAAAAUGGAGCUAGAAUCAAGACAUGGGUGGUAGUUAUUUUUAUUAUCAUUCUUAAAAGAUUGAUCAAGAAAACUUCUUAAUUUCUUCUCAAUAGCAUUAUUUUUUUUUUUUUUUUGUUCUAUAUAUAGGGUGGUGCUGGAUUUGCAAGGGAUAUUUCCUUCGUUGGCGUUCAACUCAUAAACGCUGAAAACCCGAUCAUUAUUGACCAACACUAUUGUCCUCACCAAACAUGUCAACCUGAAGGGGUAAACAUAUACAAUUCGUGUUGGAUUUUUUUUUUUAUGAAUAAAAUUUUACUAAUUAAUUAAUUAUAAUGUAUACAUGCAGAAAACAGCAGUAAAGAUAAGCAAUGUGAGAUUUAGUGGAUUCAAAGGGACAUCCGCUACUGAGGUUGCUAUCAAACUGGAUUGCAGUAGUAUAGUUCCUUGCACUGGUAUCACUCUAAGCAACAAUAUGAUAACUUCAUCAACUCCUGGAAAGAAGGUAAAAGCUGAAUGCAAUAAUGCUCAUGUCUCUUCCACCUUAACAACUCCCUCAGUCACUUGCUUAACACCCGAACACAUAUCAUUUAUUACUCCAAAGCUUAAGGAAAGUACGUACGAGCAGUGAUCCAGAAUGUAUAUUUAUCAGCCUAAUUUAGAUAGAUAAAAAUUACUAUAUACUAUCAUUGAUGGACCUAUUACAUAUAUAUAUUGUCUUUGAUUAAUGGCUUGCAAAAAUUAAGUAUCAUAUGUAUAUACUCUGGAAUCGCAAUAAAUAUAAAGCAGCUUUUGGAUAUUUAAGAAAUUUCUGUAUUUGAAAUAUAUCCAUCUUCUCUGAUUGGUGUCCCCUUGUGCGACUCUUCCCUUCUCCAUCCAAUUCUUCUUCUUGGAUCUUAAUUUGUUAAUUAUUGCAAGGAAAUUGGGUGAGGCCUUUGCAACUUGAAACUUAUAUAUAGGGAUAACUCAGGUUUUGUCAUUAAAAGUCGAGUUUCUUACGCAUCAUUAACGUUUGUGAUGUCACUUCCUUGUUUUAAAGACUCUGACACUACAAGAAAAUGAAUAUUUAGCAACUGUCCAACCGCCAAUCAUCAUAAAAGGGAAGUUAAUUUACUACUUGAUAUGCUUUUUGUAAUUCUCGUUAAGGCUUAUCAAUGAGGAGUAAAACCUCAAUAUAAGGGUGUGUUUAUUUAAUCCACCAGGGUAAAGCCUUUUCUCAGUGUCAAGCUCACCAUUCCUCAAUCCACUUGUGACAGCACUGUUUAUAUAAUUGAAAGUGUCCCCUUACGCAAGGGAUUCUCUUAACAAAUUUGUUACUUAAUUGUAUUAUUCAAAGAUUUUUGUCCAAGUUUGCUCAAAUAUAAUUAAUCACAGCAUUGUGUCAACAACUAAACACAUAUACUUUGUUCAAUUCUGCUUCGACAUUAAUCUCUUCAAUCUUAAUGGGUGGAAAGUUUCUCUUUUUUUAAUUCAUUUUCUUCCACAAGCAAAUAAUUUGGGUUGCAUCGGGCCUUUUGCUCUCGAGAUAAAGUAAAACCCUAUUUUGGUUCUUGUUCAGUUGAUCAUGCAAGAAACGUUAACUUGUAAUACUGUUAAGAGUAGAGAUAUCGGAAAACCUGAGAGAAUUCCACUUAUAAUAUUCCAUAUUGUAUAUUCUAAUUCUUGUCCGCAUAGGCAAGACCGAGAUGAAAAGAAAUGAAACGCUACUCGGUUUCAACUACAAUAUUAGGGAACUUUUUCAAAUUUAUUGCUGUGAUCUUCAUUUUAUUUCGGGACAGACAUAUGAUAUAUCCACUCAGCUACCGCACUUCGAUUUUCUAAUGGAUGCUGAAAAUCAGUCAAGAAAUUAAAACGAGUCAGUUUCUUCAUAAAUUCAAUCAGUGACACAAUUUAUCCAAAAAACAAUAAUAAUAAUUGAUAAAAAAAAAAAGUAACAUAUAACAUAAUUUCUGCGGAGAUUGAGAGAUUAUUACUUCUUGCAAUCGUCGGCGGAGGGAGCAAGGGGCACGGGGAACUCGAUAUUACAAUGUUUGAGAACUUGCUUAGCUCUAUCAGGCUUUUAUCCGUCAAAUACCGCAUAAUAGUGAAGACAUUCACAGAUAUCCUUGCGGGUUUUGGGUUUGGUAAUGCCACCGACUGUGUUAGACAAACCUAUGCAGCAAUUAACGUCCGGUGUGGCUGCUUUACCCACCAAGUAGGGCCUGCAAUACUUUAAAAAAUGCACUACCCAGUCCUGGCAUGUUGCUUCCGUAUCUGCAUUCACAGAGUUAUUACUAACAACCAAAAACACUAACCCUAAAACCAACGGAAACCAAGCUGAGAAAUCCAUCGUUUUCUUCCCCUUUUUCAACCAUAAUUAUUCUUGCUAAAAAAGAUAGUAAAAAUAUUUUACUUCUGUUGGAGCAUUUGUUUGUUAUAUGCGGCAUGCACUGUGUACUUAUUUAUAGGUCCGUAUCUGCUAAAAUGAUUUAUUGAAGUCUAGAGUUAUUGUAUUAAUGGAAUUGAUUAAUAUUUCUCGUUGUCAAUAUACUCCAUUUGGACAGUCUUGCUGUGUAGGUUAAUUAAUUUACCAUAUUUUAAUUGCUUGAGUGGAAUCCCAUCUGUCAUUAAUUAAAUUUGCAGUCAGAAUUAGUGAUUCUAAACACAAACGGUGUUUUCUUCUGAGGAUUUUAAUGGUGGCAUCUUAUUUUGGAAUGCUCCUCCUCACAUCCUUCCUUAUACGGUUUUACAUAUGGACCUUAUCACUAGAAGAUGUUUGAAGGGGAAUAGUGUACCAACUAUUCCUCUAUACAUUGAAGAUUGAAUUUGAAAAUCAACCAUUUACUCAAUUAAAAAAAAAAAUUAAACCUUGUUAUGAAAAUCCAUGUGACUAAAGAAAAAAAAAUCAAAAUGUGCCAUAAAUUCCUAUAUUCGUUGAUUUUUAAAGAUUUAGUUUCUCUAAUAUUAUUUAAAAGAAUUUAAUCCUUAUAGUAUUAUUUUUAAAAAUUUAAGUCCAAUCAUUAAUAGUGUUCAAUUUCAUCUAUCAAAUAGUUGACAUGGCUACUAUCGUGGUAUUUUCAUUGGCUUUUAACAUUGUUAAUGAUGAUGUGUAUUACAAAUUCUAGCCACGUGAACUAUCAAAAAGCGACAUCAACAUUAACAUAAAUAUUUUUAAAAUUUAAUAAUAUCUUAAUAUCAUUAAUUAAAAAAAACUCUAAAAAUUAGAAAAAAAGAUUGAUUGAAACCCAAAAAGCUGAAGAAAUUCUUUACACAAUAAAAAAAUGCCAACAUUUUCAAUCCUAAUCAAAUCCCAUAUGGAAUAACUCAAAAAGUGAAACCAAUAGUAGUGUCGAACCUUUGAAAGAAUGACAAUUUUAGCUUGAAAAUUCAUCCAAAGCCUUGCUUGUAAUCACAUAAGCCUUCAUUUUUUAACUACAAUUUGUGUUCCAUCAUCUAGUUCCCUUUAUAAACUACACCAAAGCCACCAUGACCAAGUUCAUUUUUAAAGCGAAGGUUUUUUCUUUCACAUUUCUAAGAACUUGAACUAAUAUUGUUAGGGGCAUAUAAUGGUCAAAGGGUAUUAGUGAUUUUUUUUUCCUUUCUUAAUCUUUAGCAGACAAGCAAAUGUACCAUGAUCAUUUGUGCUGACUUGAUAUAUCAGGUCGGUCUAACAUGUCCAGUGCCACCUCAACUUGGCUCUAUCUUAAUUGUCCUUUUUUUUGUCUCCCUAAACUUACCUAUAAAUAUGGAAACUUAGGCAUCAUAAAAUCAAGUUCAUCUAACUUAUACCUUUCCAAUCGGAUCCUUACUGACUUGUGCGUCGAAGUGCAAUUGUAGGGAAUAUCCCCUGCUUUUGCCUCUAAUUAUUCUUUUCAUCUCUUUUUAUAGGAAAACUCUUAGGUAGAAGCUUGGUACAAACAUUUGGUUUGUGAAGUAGGAGACUAGCAUUUUCAUAACAGUCGAGCACAAAACAAUGCCAUAUAGAAAAAGAACCUAAGAGGAAGGAGGGGCAGUCGUCCUGACUGGAAUAGAAAUUCAUCAAACCAACAGUCUGUCUGCCUAGCUCAACCACAGGUAAGGCUAACCAUGGAGCAAUGUCAAGCUUGGAUUGAGCAAAUACAAGCCUUGAAAUAGAUGCUUAAACCUAUAACCCCACCAUAAUUCUUCAAAGUGCUAAACCUAGUCACAUUGGAUUGAAAAGCUAUUGUCGAGCAGCCGAGCUACGAAAAAUUGGAAGCCUUCUUGAUCUCCAAAAAAGAAGAGCACACCAAUCCAACCCUUUACUGCCCCAAUUAAAAUUUUACACAUGCCACAACCCAAAAGUCCAAACAAACAGACUAUGAACCCUAAUCGAACAAAGACUUGAAAGCUCGGAUGUAGGCCAUAGAGAAAGAACUAAAAAAGCUAGUAGCUUUUGAGGAUGAGCUCAAAUUCUUAGAGACUUCACUCUUUAAGAAAGAGAUUGACGGAGCCAUACCUCCAAAGGGAUUUAAAAUGCUAACCUUGUAGAUAUAUGAUGACACUUCUGAACCCUUUGAUCAUUUAGAACUUCAUAGAACUAACAUAAUGGUAUAUAAGGCAUAUGAGGCUAUUAUGUGCAAAGGUUUAGCCAUUAUUUUGAAAGGUGUAGCUCAAUCUUGGUAUAAUAGUUUAGAGCUGAGGUCAAUCACUAUUAUCAAGAAGCUCAGUCACUUAUUUCUAUCCUGAUUCAUGAGUAGCAGAAGAGCUAAGAAAAUGACCCUAAACCUGAUGUCAAUUCAUUAAGAGUAUAAUGAAACUUUAAAAAGCUAUGUCACGCAUUUUAACAUGAAAGUUUUAUAGGUCAAAGACCUAGAAUAAAUGAUCGUUGUUGUCACAUUGACCAGUAAACUCAAUGAUAAAAAGUACCACUAAAAGUUGACAUUAUUGCUGGAACCAUUAAAAACUCUGGCCGAUGUUUUGUUGAUAGUAGAGAAAUAUGUCAAAGCUGAAGCUCUAAUGAAAACAAAUCGAGCUAAAAGAGGCUUAUCUCCUCUCAUUGACAGUUGAGGUGAGAGAGGCUCAUCAUUCCUUUUCGAUCAUAAAAAAGACAAGAAAUUCUACGAUCUUCCCCUAAGAAAUAUAGGGCUAAAAGUCCUAGUUAAGAAAAAAGCUCAUUGCAAUGAAUACCUCUCAUAAGAGGAUUUUGAUGCAAAUUGAAAAAAAUCUUGAUUUUAGAUGGCCUAAGCCACUAAGAUAAAAUACAAGGCAGGAUUUGACCAAAAAAUACAUCUUUCAUCGGGACAUUGACCAUAAUGCAUAAGAUUGUAUCAACCUAAAAAUUGAGAUUGAAGCUUUGAUUAAGCUCGAUCAGUUGAAAAAGUUUAUCGGACAGAUAAGCUAAGAUCAGUUUAAAAAAGACUAUAAAAAUUAUCACAUAACGCCCAAUCGGAGUAUAGAGGAAAGAUCAAAUCAAGGAAGAAAAAUGCCUAAAAGGAAAAGCUAAAUUAGGAAGAGGGUCGAGCUAACAACAGCAGGCCAAUUGUCAAAGUGAUUAAUGUGAUCAUAGGAGGUAGCUCUACCUCAACAAAAAAGAAGUUCAACUCGGGCUCAAUAAUGACAAUAGGCUCAUUGGCUAAAAAAAAACUUGAGAAACAAGUCGAUCUCAUUCAGUUUGAAAGAUUUGAAAAGGAUCCAACACCCACAUGAUGAUGCCAUAGAGUAAUCUUAGUCUUAGUGCACACUAUAUGGUCAAAAGAAUCUUAUUUACUAAUGGGAGUUCCACUGACAUUAUGUACAAUGACUGUUUUAAGAAAAUGAAGAUCAGUGAAGACAGAUGAAGUUGAUCCCUACAACACUAGAUGGGUCUGAAAAUGAAUAGGUGCAGUAAGAAGAACCAUCAAGCUCUCGAUCUCUUUGAGAAUAGAGCUAAAGAUUAUCACCUCAGUUGUAGAGUUCAUGAUAGUAGAUAUUCAUUUACCUACAACAUGAUAUAGGUUGACCUAGGUAUCCUGUUAUGGCAGGUUAUAGGCUCAGCUCCCCACUUACAAGUAAAAUUUCCAAUGUCUCCAAGGGUUAAAGAAGUUUGAAAAGACUAGUUCAUAGCACGAUAAUGUUAUGUUACAAUGAUAAAGGGUAGAACUAAGAAGUAGAUCGGCAGCUCAACUAAUAUCAAAGUGGAAAGCAAAGAGGAAUCAACAUAAAAAAUUGGCGAAAAACAAAAAAAAAAAACUAUUGAUUUAAGCACAAAACAUAAGGUCAACCUGAUAGAAUCAUGCUUUUAAGCCGUUCAGAGCUCUUAAACUUCGUAAAAAUUUAAUUUUUUAAAUUUUUUAAGACAACAAUAAAAGUGAUCGAGCUCUUAAGUAGGCAUAAAAAAUUAAUGUUACUUAGAACAAGCUAACACAUUAGCCAAAUCAUUUCUACUAAUAUGUUUAACAAGUUGUUCAAUAUACUAAUCAUUUUGUCAGGAUCUGUUUUCACAGAAAAUGAUCCAAACCUAAUGGAAUAAAAAAAUAAUCGAUCAAAGGCUGGACUCAGAUAAAAAUUGACCUAAAUUAGCUUAGUACCUCAUAACAAUUCUAUUUCGGAACAAUACUCCUCAAAAAUACAUGUAGAUUGAAGCUAAACUCUAACAUAAGGACCAAUUGAUUUAAUUUAUAAAAGAUAAUGCAGACUUGUUUGGUUGGACACCAUCUAAUAUACCCAGGAUUGAUACUAAGGUAUUGGUCUACAGACUACAUACUAAUUUUGAUGUCAAACCAAUUCAACAAAAGAAAAGAACUUUUACCCUUAAAAGAAAACAAGUCAUUAAGGAAGAGGUUGACAAAUUAUUACAAGCUAGCUUUAUCAUGGAGGUUUACUACCAUGAGUGGAUAGCCAAUAUGGUUAUGGUUAAAAAGCGCAGGGAAAAAUGAAAAAUGUGCAUGGACUUUAUUGACUUGAAUAAGGCUUGUCCAAAGAAUAACUUCUUCCUCUCUAGCAUAGAUCUGUUAGGGAUGAUAGUGCCAAGCAUAUCUUUCUCAGCUUCAUAAACACUUAUUUCGGCUAUAAUCAAAUCAAAAUAUUGAAAGAAAAUGAGGACAAAUUAGCUUUUAUUAUUGAGAAAUGCUUUUAUUGCUAUAAAGUCAUGCUUUUUGGAUUAAAGAAUAUGGGGAUGACCUACAAGAGAUUGGUGAAUAAGGUAUUCAAGGACUAAAUUUAUCGUAAUAUGAAAAUAUAUGUAGAUGAUAUGAUAGUUAAGAGCAAAAGCUUGAUCGAGCAUCUGAAAACCUUUAAAAAAACUUUUAACACUUUGAGAAAGUACAACAUGAGACUUAACCCAAGCAAAUGCAUUUUUUGGGUUACAUCGGAUAAGUUUCUUAGCUAAGUGAUCAACCAAAAAGGGAUAAAGGUAAACUCAGAGAAGGUUCAGGUGAUUUUAAAAAUGAAAGCAUCGAUUUUAGUAAAAAAGGUACAUAGGCUAAUAGGCACAAUAGUUGCACUCAAUCGAUUCAUGUCUAGAGUAAUAGAAUGAUGUCUACCAUUCUUUAAAACUUUUAGAAAUGUCUCUAACUUUAUAUGGACUCCUCAAUGCCAAAAAUAUUUUGAUGAACUUAAAGAGUUCUUAUCAUCUCUACCUAUCUUAUCAAAAUCUAGGACUGGUAAAACAUUAUACUUGAAUUUGGCUACCAUAGAUCAGGUUAUCAGCUCGAUCUUACUUUGAGAAAAAGAGGGGAAAAAAUGAUCGAUCUAUUUUGUAAACAACGUAUUGAUAGGGCUUAAAGUUAACUACAGUAGUAUAAAGAAAUUGGCCUAUGCCAUGGUCACCUCGAUCAGGAAACUCAAGCAAUACUUCCAAGCCCACAUGAUCCAUAUUUUGACCGAUCAACUACUAAGGCAAGUCUUACAAAAACCUAAAAUGUCGAAAAGGCUAAUCAAAUGGGUAAUAGAGCUUAACAAAUUUGAUCAAUAGCUUUUACCUAGAUCGAUAUUAAAGUCGUAGGUGUUGGCAGACUUCGUAGUGGAGCGCACUUCGAUAUAAGUGGAAAGAUAGCCUGACAAAAAAAAAGAAAACUUUGGAUAAGGAUGAUUGAAAGCUUUAUGUCGAUGGAUCUACUACAAGCUAGGACGGAGGAGCUAGCCUCAUUCUAAUAAGUCUGAAAGGGCUACAGUAUCCAUAAAUCUUGAGAUUCAAGUUUAGGACAUCUAAUAAUGAAGCAAAAUAUGAGGCAUUGAUAGCAGGCCUAAAGUUGACAACUGAGUUGAAUGUUCAACAAAUAACCACUUAUAGUGACUCCUAACUAGUUGUUGGUCAGAUAAAUAAGCAGUUCGUAGCUUGAGAUAAUGGAAUCCAAAAGUACCUUCACAGAGCACUAGCCUUGAUAGUUGGCUUCAAGAAAGCCAAAGUGAAAAAGAUAUCGAGGUUAAAAAAUUCAAUAAUAGACUCCCUAUAUAAGUUGACUUCAAGAGCAGCAAUGAGAAGCCUGAAUGAAGUUCUAGUAGAGGAACUAGUGCAUAAAAGUAUCGAGGAUAAGCUCAUGGGAUAGAUCAUAAAAAAAAACCUAGAAAAUACCAAUCAAAACAUACCUGACCAUGGGAAUGUUACCCGAUGAAAGAGUCUGGGCUAAAGCACUGAUGAUCAAGGCACCUAGAUACAUGAUGAUUAAGGAAAAAUUAUACAUGGGAUGAGAUCCUUUAUCCUACCCUACUUGAGAUGUGUUGAUGAAGAGGAGUUAGAGCAUGUCAUGAAAGAAAUCCAAAAAGGAACUAUGUGAAAACACAACCUCAGACCUCACCUUUGGCUUAUAAAGUGCUAAAGCAGGGUAUUGUUAGCCUAUUAUCAAGAGAGAUGCAACCAAACUAGUGAAAUAAAUGUGACAAAUGUCAAAGUUUGCCUAUGUGUAACAUUUCCUUUCGAUCGAGCUCACUCUUUUCAUUAGUCCGUGGCCCAUUCAUGUAGUGGAUGAUUGGUGUCCUUGAACCAUUCACCCCUACGCCAUAGGUUAGAGGAGAUUUGUCUUAGUGACAAUAGAUUACUUCACAAAAUGAUUGGUAGCCAAAGCCUUAGCCACUACCAUGGAAGUGCAAGUUGAAAAAGUUUGUGUGGAAAAGCAUAGUCUGCAGAUUCAAGCUACCUCAGUCCAUAAUAUAGACAAUGACAAAUAAUUUGAUAAUCUGAUGUUCAAAGAAUGGUGCUCAAAUCUUCACAUCAACCUCAAGUUCAUGUUGGUUACCCACCCUUAGUUCAACGGGUAAGCCAAAGCUACAAAUAAGACAAUACUAAAACUUUGAAAAAGAGGCUCAAUGCAGCAAAAGAAAAAUAGGCUGAUGAGUUAUUAGAAGUUUUGUGGGCCUUGAAGACAACCACAAAGGUCCUUACUGGUGAAACCCCAUUUCAUUUGGCUUUUGAAACAGAAGUUAUAGUGCCGAUUGAGAUUGACCUACCGAGCUUAAGAGUUGAAUUAGCAUCAGAAGAAAAAAAAAUAGACACUUAAGGCUGACUUGGACCUCACUGAAGAACAAAAAGACAUAGCUUUGACUCAAAUUGUAGCCUACCAUCAAAAGGUAGCUAAUUAUUAUAAUAAGAGGGUCUAGCAUAUACACAUCAAGGAAGAUGACUUGGUACUUAAAAAAGUCGAAGCUUCAAGGAUUGAUGAUCGAUGUGGCAAGUUAGCCCUAAUAUGGAAGGACCAUAUAUUGUAAAAGAGGUUAUCCACGAUACAACCUACAAAUUAAAAAAUCUAAACAACGACAUCAUCCCAAGGACAUAGAAUGCAAACAACUUAAAGGUUUUAUUAUCAGUAGCUCAGUGUAAAUCGAGCUCACACUUGUACUGUUUUAUGAAUAGCACUGCCACCCCAAGUAUAUGAAAUUCAAAUCAACUUGAUUACUAGUAGAUCAAAGCAAAUUGAGCUUACACUUGUGUUAUUUUAUCUUAAGAAUAUGAAAUGCAAUUAAAGGUUUAUUAUCAUUAGAUCAGUUUUAACUGAGCUCACAUAUGAAAUUAUUUUUAGUAAACUUGUCUACAAGUGAUUUAAAGUCAUUUAAAGAAAUCUGACUUGAAACUCAUAAUUACAUUAAUAUGAUCUAAAGUAAUUAUGCAAGUCUACAAUCUAAUUAUCUAUCUUUGGAUCGGUAAAUCGUUCUCGAACUAAUGCAAAUAAAGAAAAAACAACAGUAAAAUUGAGCUGUAACUUAAAAAAUUUUCCUUUCUAUUCUGAUGCAACUCAUUAUAUUAAUUGGAGUAUGGGAGGUCUUCAUAAAAACCUGAUUUCAAAAUUUUACAAAAAGUUCAUAAAAAGGUUACAAAAUAAAAAACAAAAAUCAUUAAAUUUAUGCAUCAAUAGUGGCAGCAGCGGAAGGAGUACCCUUACCAGUGGUAGUUGGAGAAAUGCACUCAUCAGCAGUAGUGGGAAGAAGGACCUUAACUUCAACAACCUCUACUUCUUCCUCUUUUAUUCCUAUGACAGUCUCUAACUUUUCUCUAAGCUUGAUCUUUCUCAUUUUCUUCUUUUUUUUUAUUUUCUUUUUCAUGUUAUUUAGGUUGAUUUGGAACAAACCUUAAUCUGAUAUUCUUGAUAUCAAUAUCAAAGAGGUUGAGGUUGAAAGUGGAGAAUUUGAAUUACACCUAUUCAUUGGCUAGUUAUAAAGCAUCAAGAAUGUUCUUCUUGGAGAACUCUACUUCACCCAAAGAUACUCAUUGAAGGUUUUAUACUUUUUUUCAGCCUUAAUCUAUAGGUUCUCUUCCCUUUUGCCUCAAGCAUCCAACUCAGACCUCAACCUCGUAAUUUUAGCCAAGUAUCAUUUAGUUUUAGCUCAACUUGUUCCUUCAUCAAUUUGGUUGAGGCUUUGUCUAAUGAGACGACCUUCAGCUUUGCUACCAAGUUAUCUUUUUUUUUUCUCAACUUUGUCUCCUUUUUGUGGGAUGCAGUAAAGCUUGAUCUGACGUUGCCUAGUGCUUUCAAGCUCUUUUGUGCUUUUCAAAAAAGGAAAUGAUAUCUCUCUCAACUCUUAGCAUAUGCCUCAUUACAAGAUAAGCAUAAUGAAGAGUUCGAUUGUUAUUCUUCAUGAGCUGAGGUGGAAACUUUUUUUGGACUGCAAGAAAAGAUCUUAAACUUAGAAAAAUAAAAAAAAUAGUAUAAAAAAAACAAGUAGAGGUUAGGAGAUACUCAUCAAGGGAAAGAACUACGACUUUGCGAAACCUCUUAGCAACAUUGGGGUUGGAGAUUGGAUCAUUUGUCAGAGCAAACUCCAACCCCAAUGUUAUUCUUUUUGAGCUAGGUUUUAGCACACUAGUUGGGGUUCUUAAGAGGAGUGGAUAACACCUUCACCCAUGAUCUUUUGGCAUGAAGGGUGGUACUUGUGCUGACAUGGAGUAUAGGUCUUGACCUACCUUAGCUUUUAAUUUUUGACCUAAGGGAAUACGAGGUAUGGCCGUGCUGACUACUUUGUCUCUCUUAUAUAACGGGGCCUGGAGUUGAAUUUUUUCCCUUUCCUUCUCAGGCCUUAGGGCAUAUUGAUAUAGGGUGACAUUAAAGUCUUCUUUAGCUUUAGCUAUAUCUGUAAAAUUAAGCUAAUAGUUAGUUAAAAAAUUAACUUAAAACAAAACUUGACAAGAUUACCUUAAAUCUACCCUAAUUUUUGUACUAUUUAUUACUUUUAGGGAGGUCAACCUGUGAGCAUUGAUAACGAGCUCUCCUUAUGUGUAAAAUCUACAAUUUUAUCUCGAUCUGACAAAUCAAUGAAGGAAAAGGCCAUUAGUGCAUCCACAAAGGAAUGGAGUGUACUCUUUAUUUCCUAAGCCUCAAUCUCAGGCUUACUAUCUUUAUUGAGCUUCUGUUUUGCAAGGCAUAGGAAGGGCAGCUACCAGUUCUUUAUUGAACUCGGGAAAUCGAUCAAAAUCUUUUUGUUUGGUCGAGUUGUAAUAUAAAACUACCACUAUCACUAAGAUAUUUUUUAAGAGAAAAGAACUCCUUGAUAGAUGGAGACAGUGAAGAAUAUUUAAAUGUUGACAAAGAAUAAUAAAAGCGACUAUGUACCGAGCAACAUUUUGGGUGAGCUGAGUGAUGGUUAAAUUAUAAAAAUUAAAAAUUGAAAUGAAUAAAUGAUAAGUGAAACCUUUAGAUCGAUGAGGAAUGAAUCCCAGUAUACAUAUAGCUCAUAUGGCUCUACUUAUUAGUGACUCGGUCUGAAAAAUUCAAUAUUAUUAUACUAUACCCCUCUUUGAGAAAAGGGAAAGUGGUACACUACAGGUGUUUUGGUUUUUAGUGGCAUUUUUUUUUACUGUUUAGUGGCAUUUAUUAACACCACUAUAAAGUUUGUGGCGGUUGUGAAAAAUGCCACGCAGAAUGCCGCCUAUUCACACUUCACGAAAAAUAGUGGCGUUUUUAAAAAAAUGCCUCUAACUUAGCGGCGUUUUCUGAUACAAACGUCACUAAAUUUAGUAGUGUUUUUUGAUGCAAAUGCUACUAAAUUUAUCGGCGUUUGUAUUUAAAAACGUCGCUAAAUUAUGAAUUUAGUGGCAUUUGCAUAAAAAAAAAGUCGCUAAAUUUAGCGACAUUUGUGUUUAAAAAUGCCACUAAAUAUAACGACAUUUUCUGAUACAAACGUCACUAAAUUCAGCAUUAAUGGCAUUUUUAAAUACAAACAUCGUUAAAUAAAAAAUUUUAUUUUUUAAUUUUUUUUAAUAUUUAUUAUUAUAAUUAAAUACAAAUUGUUAAAAGAAAUAAAAAUGAAUUUAAAUUUAUAAACAGAAUAUUAUAAAUAUUUAAAUAUCUAAAUACAUAAUUUGUUUCAAUAUGCAUGUAACACAAAGUUUAAUAUAUGUAAUAACAUUUCACUUUGCAUUUGUUUUCUUCUUGCCUAUCAAUGGACUCCAUAGAAGGAGUUACACUUGCUUUUAGUGGAGCCUACAAUGCCUAUUCAUCCUCUUGGGUUCCACUGCUAAAGAGAACAUUUCUCCAGGAACCUCAAAAUGUGUUGUCAGAAUUGCAUCACAGUACAUUUCAUUUAUCUUAUCCACAACUUCAUAUUCCAUUUUGAUUGAAAAAUGUCAUUGGGUAAGCUAUAAAAGGUAGCAUAAAAUUUGUAAUGCAAGAUAAAAUCAAGGAAGAUAUACAAGAUCUCAUUGAUCUACACCUAAUUGAUGCUAAAACAAGUGCUCAUAAAUUGGAAUUGAAAAGAUCAAUUAAGGAACCAAAAGUAAAAUUGAUCUGAAGAAUAAACAGUGCAAGAAAAUACAAGAAUUAACUAAAAACAACUAAAAUAUAAAGUGAAAUUCAACCAAAACUCAUUGAGUUGAUGAAAGAAAAAAUUAGGUCUAGAAGCUUAUAAUGAAAAUGAACUUGAAAUGAGCUAAGAAACAAUUCAUCAAUCAAUUUUGCUACAAAAUUCAACAAGAAAAUGAUAGCAAAAUAGAGAAAAACCAGCUUAAUGAACUAGCAACUCAAGUGAUACUAAAAACAGAGAAAAACAGAGCAUUAACAAUUAAAUCUAUCCAAACACCAAAUGAAUUCAUGAAAUAAAUGCAAUAAAUUAAAAAAUAAAAAGUAAACAUGUAAAACUAAGAAUGUAAAAUAUGAGAGAAUCAAAUCGAACAACUAGAAGGAGAGAGGAUCACCAUUCAUCAAGUUCUCAUGCAUGGAUUGCUUCUGCCUUUUGGAUUCACCCUUAACUUUGAAGAAUUACCUGUAUACGUACAAAUGGAAUUUGAGGUUGAGUUUUUACUGGAUUAUAGCAUUGUGAACUACGAAUCUAGGAAAAAAAAAUUGAAGUAAAUCAAGCUAGAAUUCACUGAGUCUUGAUUAAAAGACUAAAGAUAGGUCAGGUGCACAGUUUUGAAACCAGAUUUGAGCUGAAUGUGAAUUUUACAGAAUUUGAAAAGGAAAUCAUGAGAAUUUGUAAAUUUCAUUAUGAAAACCUUAAAGAACAUUCAAAAAAAGUGUAGGAAACCUAAAAUUGUAAUAAGAUUCAAUUAAGAAAACUAAAAAUGACAGCAGAUCAGGUUCUAACAAGAAAAAUGAAAGGUAAAAUAUCAAUGUUGUGCUCAAUGUUGUACCAGCAAAGAUUUAUGGAAAGCAUAAACUUCUUAUAAGACAACUGAUUAAUCAUAAAAUAUGGCUUAAAUAAGGUUCAGAAAAGUAUGAACAAGCAUCAACAAAUAUCAUACAGAUAUUCAUGUGAAACAAUGGCCUCCCAUCUCAAAACCCUUCAGCUUUUGACAAAUUAUUAAAAGAAGUUCUUUUUGUAAUAGAAUACAAGAUUCAAGUACAUUAUCAUGAAUUUAUACUUUCAUAUAGUUCUCUUGAUUUGAAAGAUCUUCUUUCAAAAUAAUUACAUUUCUCGCUUCCUCUCACACUCACCUAAGAACAUUUAGCACAUUAAAUCAAACAGCAAGCAAAGAUUUCUAUAUUAAACCAGCAGACAUAAAGCAAGAGUCAAGGCAAAGUAUUCACAUAUAGAUAUGAGAUAAGUGAGAGCAACCUUGUGCUAAGUACUUAAAGAGCUUUCCAGCAGCUGAAAAGAUUGAAAGAGCUAUCUCAGCAUCGUAAAGACUGGAAAACUCAUAAGCUUUCUUGAAAAGUCCUUAUCUCCUUUUUGAGAAAGUCACCUGCCUCAUUGCUACGUUGUCAAUCUUCUUGAUUUGAAUUUUCUUUCUCACCAUUCUCUUCUAAGAAAAAAGUUGGGGAAAAAAAGGAAAUUAUAAAAGAGAAAGAGGGGGUUUCAAUUUUGAAAAAAAAUUUUAGCCGCAUUAUUUCGUCACGAUAGUGGCGUUUACUUAAAAAAAUGUCACUAUUUACAAAGAGGAUUAUUCAAGGCAUUUUUUGAAAAAAAAAUGCCUUCAAUAAUCCCCUCAAAUUUUUUUGAGAGGACUAUUGAAGGCGUUUGUUUGACCAAAAAUACUUUCAAUAAUCUUCUUUAAUUUUUUAAAAAGGAUUAUUAAAGGCGUUUUCUGUAAAAAAAAAUACUUUCAAUAAUCCCCUUCAUUUUAUAUGAUAAGAUUAUUGAAGGCGUUUUUUAUCAAAAAAUACCUUUAAUAAUCCUCUCUAAUAUUUUGAAAAGCAUUAUUGAUGGCCUUUUUUUUGGCCAAAAACGCCUUCAAUAAUCCCCUGUAAUUUUUUUAGAGAGGAUUAUUGAAAGUGUUUUAUGUAAAAAUAAAAAACUUUAAUAAUCCUUUCCAAUUUUUUAUAAGGGAUUAUCAAAGGCGUUCCAAGCAAAAAACGCCUUAAAUAAUUUGCUCAUAAAAAAUAAAGAUAAUUAUUGAAGCCAUUUUUUGUUAGAAAUGCCUUCAAUAAUUUCGUUAAAAAAUUGUAGAGGAUUAUUAAAGGCAUUUUUGGUAAAAAAAAUUCCUUCAAUAAAUUUUCUUAUCAGUAAAUCUGUCAAAAGUAGAGUAGCAUUGUUGGUUAGAGCAUACGAUUGUUAAUCAUAAAGUUAUAGGUUUAUUCCCUCAUUUCAGCAUUUUUUAAGAUUUUUGAGAAAGAUUGAAUUUAUGACCUUAUGAUUAACAACCGUAUGCUUUAACCAUCAAUGCUACUCCAUUUUUCACAAAUUUAUUGACAAAGAUAUUUAUUGAAGCCGUUUUUGACAAAAAAAAAUACCUUCAAUAAUUUCUUUCAAUUUUUUUAGAAGGGAUUAUUGAAGGCAUUUUCUACAAAAAAAAACCUUCAGUAAUCCCUUUGAAUUUUUAUAAGGGAUUAUUGAAGGUGUUUUAGGCAAAAAACGCCUUGAAUAAUCUGCUCAUAAAAAAUAGAGGCAUUUAUUAAAGGCGUUUUCUACUAAAAACGCCUUUUACAAUUUUCCUAAAAAAUUGUAAAAGAUUAUUAAAGACGUUUUUGGUAAAAAAUACCUUCAAUAAAGUUUCUUGUCAAUAAAUUUAUCAAAAAUAGAGUAGUACUGUCGAUUAGAGCAAAUGGUUGUUAAUCAUAAGGUUGUAGGUUCGAUCUCUUUUUUCAGCAUUUUUUAAGUUUUUGGUCAGAAAUACUUUCAAUAAUUCUCCUAAAAAUUUGAAGUCGAAUAUUAAAGGCAUUUUUGGUCAAAAACGCCUUUAAUAAUCCCUUGACAAAUUCAAAAAAUACUAAAAGAAGGGAUCGAACCUAUUAACUUAUAAUUAAUAACCGUAUACUCUAACUAUCAAUGCUACUCCAUUUUUCACAAAGUUAUUGACAAGGAGAUUUAUUGAAGGCGUUUUUUACAAAAAAUUCUUUCAAUAAUCCUCUACAGUUUUUUUAAGAGAUUUAUUGAAGGCAUAUCUAGCAGAAAAUGCAUUUAAUAAUCACUUUUAUUUUUUAUGAACAAAUUAUUCAAAGCGUUUGUUGCCUGAAACGCCUUUAAUAAUCACUCCAAUUUUAGUAGAUAGGAUUAUUCAAGGCAUUUUAGUCAAUAAACGCCGUUAAUUUUUGUCUUUAAUGGCGUUUAUAUGUAUAAACACCGUUAUUUGAAUAUUUAGUGACGUUUGGAUAAUAAACGCCUGAAGUUUUACAAAAACACGAAAGCUAACGGCAUUUCUAAAUGAAAGGCCACUACAAAACUGUCGUUAAUAUGCCAUUUUGCUAUAGUGGUACCUAGAGCUUAACGUGAUUAGCUAAAUAUAUGUUAGGACAGUCUUCAAGAUUUGCUCUACCCUUUAGCUCAUUCAUCACUUUUUUAGAGAUUAUGUCGAGGUUACACAGAGUAUAUAUAGGGACCUCAACAAGUUUGUCUUGCUCUAUAAGACUCUUCCCCUUGCCAUCAUGUUUUUUAGUUAAAGUACUCUCUUUCUCUUAUUCUUCUUCAAAACCCUCAUCGUCAGAAGCAUCUGACUCUAGAGUAAAAUAUGGAUCUUGAGAAAAAAUAAUGGAUGAAAGUAGCUUGAUCUUAAAAAAAGAGGGACAAGUUGAAGACCCCUUAGGAGAGGAUGAGAUGUCAAGAAAAACAAAUUGAAGGAAAAGAUAAAAGUGGUAUGAAGUGGAAAAGAUUGAACCCUAAAAGGGAAAAUACCUGAAGAGAAAGAAAGAUCAAUAAUAGAAGAUAAACCAACCUAAGAGAUGGGGAAAAUAAUUAGAUUUCAAAGUUCAAAGUUGAUUUGAGCACACAACUUUUCAAUGCUCAAAACUCGCUCGUCUUUUGCCUAAGCAUUCUCUUUAUUGCAUUGCUGCCCUUCCUCAAACAUCAAAUUGAACUAAUAAGCUAUCUUUGUAUAGUUACGACCUCUAAUAACAAAAAGGAUCAAAUCACCAUAUUACUACUCUUGCUAACCUCCUAUUGGCUCUACCUUAUAGCUUUUAGUCUCUUCAAAACUCAUACUAUAAGACAUGAUUAAAAGUACAUACUAAAGUAAGCAUAGAAAAAAACUUCGAAAGCAAGAAAGUUACAGAAAUAAAAAAUUUUAGGUCAAAUUGAGAACAAAGAAAGUGAAAGAUAGAAAACUGAAGCCUCAUAAGCCUUUUUAUAUAGAUGCGCUUCAGUCUAGAAGAGUGGCAUGAUCCUCACCACAUGUUAGUGCAUGGGUGAGUAGACAUUUUUUCAUCUUUUUACUUUAAAUUCCCUAUUCAAAUCGUCUCUUAUUCAUUUAAUGUUAUUAGACUAGCCUAAUCGGAUGAACUCUAGAUCGAACUAAUCAAACCAAAUAAUUGUCAAGGGUAAACUAAGAGCCCGAUUCACUAUCAAGGUUCAAAAAGAAGGCUUAUGUCUAAAUUUUUAAAAUAAAACACAAGUCUCACCACAGCCUUACAAAUUUCAGCAAUAAUCUUGAAUCACCCCAGACAAUUAUCAUUUCAGUAAUCUUUAAAUCAAUUAUGCACUCAUCUCAAGACAAAUGCACGAGAUUGGAUAACCAUUAGGUCAAACGGUGGUUUAAAUUUAGUCAUCAUCUUAAAUCGACCUUCCUUACAACAUCAAUUUUUANNNNNNNNNNNNNNNNNNNNNNNNNNNNNNNNNNNNNNNNNNNNNNNNNNNNNNNNNNNNNNNNNNNNNNNNNNNNNNNNNNNNNNNNNNNNNNNNNNNNNNNNNNNNNNNNNNNNNNNNNNNNNNNNNNNNNNNNNNNNNNNNNNNNNNNNNNNNNNNNNNNNNNNNNNNNNNNNNNNNNNNNNNNNNNNNNNNNNNNNNNNNNNNNNNNNNNNNNNNNNNNNNNNNNNNNNNNNNNNNNNNNNNNNNNNNNNNNNNNNNNNNNNNNNNNNNNNNNNNNNNNNNNNNNNNNNNNNNNNNNNNNNNNNNNNNNNNNNNNNNNNNNNNNNNNNNNNNNNNNNNNNNNNNNNNNNNNNNNNNNNNNNNNNNNNNNNNNNNNNNNNNNNNNNNNNNNNNNNNNNNNNNNNNNNNNNNNNNNNNNNNNNNNNNNNNNNNNNNNNNNNNNNNNNNNNNNNNNNNNNNNNNNNNNNNNNNNNNNNNNNNNNNNNNNNNNNNNNNNNNNNNNNNNNNNNNNNNNNNNNNNNNNNNNNNNNNNNNNNNNNNNNNNNNNNNNNNNNNNNNNNNNNNNNNNNNNNNNNNNNNNNNNNNNNNNNNNNNNNNNNNNNNNNNNNNNNNNNNNNNNNNNNNNNNNNNNNNNNNNNNNNNNNNNNNNNNNNNNNNNNNNNNNNNNNNNNNNNNNNNNNNNNNNNNNNNNNNNNNNNNNNNNNNNNNNNNNNNNNNNNNNNNNNNNNNNNNNNNNNNNNNNNNNNNNNNNNNNNNNNNNNNNNNNNNNNNNNNNNNNNNNNNNNNNNNNNNNNNNNNNNNNNNNNNNNNNNNNNNNNNNNNNNNNNNNNNNNNNNNNNNNNNNNNNNNNNNNNNNNNNNNNNNNNNNNNNNNNNNNNNNNNNNNNNNNNNNNNNNNNNNNNNNNNNNNNNNNNNNNNNNNNNNNNNNNNNNNNNNNNNNNNNNNNNNNNNNNNNNNNNNNNNNNNNNNNNNNNNNNNNNNNNNNNNNNNNNNNNNNUGAAAGAAAUCCAAAAAGGACUAUGUGAAAAACACCUCAGACCUCAACCUUUGGCUUAUAAAGUGCUAAAGCAGGGUAAUUGUUAGCCUACUAUCAAGAGAGAUGCAACCAAACUAGUGAAAAAAUGUGACAAAUGUCAAAGGUUUGCCUAUGUGUAACAUUUCCUUUCGAUCGAGCUCACUCUUUUCAUUAGUCCGUGGCCAUUCAUGUAGUGGAUGAUUGGUGUCCUUGAACCAUUCACCCUAGCCAUAGGUUAGAGGAGAUUUGUCUUAGUGACAAUAGAUUACUUCACAAAAUGAUUGGUAGCCAAAGCCUUAGCCACUACCAUGGAAGUGCAAGUUGAAAAGUUUGUGUGGAAAAGCAUAGUCUGCAGAUUCAAGCUACCUCAGUCCAUAAUAAUAGACAAUGACAAAUAAUUUGAUAAUCUGAUGUUCAAAGAAUGGUGCUCAAAUCUUCACAUCAACCUCAAGUUCAUGUUGGUUACCCACCCUUAGUUCAACGGGUAAGCCAAAGCUACAAAUAAGACAAUACUAAAACUUUGAAAAAGAGGCUCAAUGCAGCAAAAGAAAAAUAGGCUGAUGAGUUAUUAGAAGUUUUGUGGGCCUUGAAGACAACCACAAAGGUCCUUACUGGUGAAACCCCAUUUCAUUUGGCUUUUGAAACAGAAGUUAUAGUGCCGAUUGAGAUUGACCUACCGAGCUUAAGAGUUGAAUUAGCAUCAGAAGAAAAAAAAAUAGACACUUAAGGCUGACUUGGACCUCACUGAAGAACAAAAAGACAUAGCUUUGACUCAAAUUGUAGCCUACCAUCAAAAGGUAGCUAAUUAUUAUAAUAAGAGGUCUAGCAUAUACACAUCAAGGAAGAUGACUUGGUACUUAAAAAAGUCGAAGCUUCAAGGAUUGAUGAUCGAUGUGGCAAGUUAGCCCUAAUAUGGAAGGACCAUAUAUUGUAAAAGAGGUUAUCCACGAUACAACCUACAAAUUAAAAAAUCUAAACAACGACAUCAUCCCAAGGACAUAGAAUGCAAACAACUUAAAGGUUUUAUUAUCAGUAGCUCAGUGUAAAUCGAGCUCACACUUGUACUGUUUUAUGAAUAGCACUGCCACCCCAAGUAUAUGAAAUUCAAAUCAACUUGAUUACUAGUAGAUCAAAGCAAAUUGAGCUUACACUUGUGUUAUUUUAUCUUAAGAAUAUGAAAUGCAAUUAAAGGUUUAUUAUCAUUAGAUCAGUUUUAACUGAGCUCACAUAUGAAAUUAUUUUUAGUAAACUUGUCUACAAGUGAUUUAAAGUCAUUUAAAGAAAUCUGACUUGAAACUCAUAAUUACAUUAAUAUGAUCUAAAGUAAUUAUGCAAGUCUACAAUCUAAUUAUCUAUCUUUGGAUCGGUAAAUCGUUCUCGAACUAAUGCAAAUAAAGAAAAAACAACAGUAAAAUCGAGCUGUAACUUAAAAAUUUUCCUUUCUAUUCUGAUGCAACUCAUUAUAUUAAUUGGAGUAUGGGAGGUCUUCAUAAAAACCUGAUUUCAAAAUUUUACAAAAAGUUCAUAAAAGGUUACAAAAUAAAAACAAAAAUCAUUAAAUUAUGCAUCAAUAGUGGCAGCAGCGGAAGGAGUACCCUUACCAGUGGUAGUUGGAGAAAUGCACUCAUCAGCAGUAGUGGGAAGAAGGACCUUAACUUCAACAACCUCUACUUCUUCCUCUUUUAUUCCUAUGACAGUCUCUAACUUUUCUCUAAGCUUGAUCUUUCUCAUUUUCUUCUUUUUUUUAUUUUCUUUUUCAUGUUAUUUAGGUUGAUUUGGAACAAACCUUAAUCUGAUAUUCUUGAUAUCAAUAUCAAAGAGGUUGAGGUUGAAAGUGGAGAAUUUGAAUUACACCUAUUCAUUGGCUAGUUAUAAAGCAUCAAGAAUGUUCUUCUUGGAGAACUCUACUUCACCCAAAGAUACUCAUUGAAGGUUUUAUACUUUUUUUCAGCCUUAAUCUAUAGGUUCUCUUCCCUUUUGCCUCAAGCAUCCAACUCAGACCUCAACCUCGUAAUUUUAGCCAAGUAUCAUUUAGUUUUAGCUCAACUUGUUCCUUCAUCAAUUUGGUUGAGGCUUUGUCUAAUGAGACGACCUUCAGCUUUGCUACCAAGUUAUCUUUUUUUUUCUCAACUUUGUCUCCUUUUUGUGGGAUGCAGUAAAGCUUGAUCUGACGUUGCCUAGUGCUUUCAAGCUCUUUUGUGCUUUUCAAAAAAGGAAAUGAUAUCUCUCUCAACUCUUAGCAUAUGCCUCAUUACAAGAUAAGCAUAAUGAAGAGUUCGAUUGUUAUUCUUCAUGAGCUGAGGUGGAAACUUUUUUUGGACUGCAAGAAAAGAUCUUAAACUUAGAAAAAUAAAAAAAAUAGUAUAAAAAAAACAAGUAGAGGUUAGGAGAUACUCAUCAAGGGAAAGAACUACGACUUUGCGAAACCUCUUAGCAACAUUGGGGUUGGAGAUUGGAUCAUUUGUCAGAGCAAACUCCAACCCCACUGUUAUUCUUUUUGAGCUAGGUUUUAGCACACUAGUUGGGGUUCUUAAGAGGAGUGGAUAACACCUUCACCCAUGAUCUUUUGUCAUGAAGGAUGGUACUUGUGCUGAUAUGGAGUAUAGGUCUUGACCUACCUUAGCUUUUAAUUUUUGACCUAAGGGAAUACGAGGUAUGGCCGUGCUGACUACUUUGUCUCUCUUAUAUAACGGGGCCUGGAGUUGAAUUUUUUCCCUUUCCUUCUUAGGCCUUAGGGCAUAUUGAUAUAGGGUGACAUUAAAGUCUUCUUUAGCUUUAGCUAUAUCUGUAAAAUUAAGCUAAUAGUUAGUUAAAAAAUUAACUUAAAACAAAACUUGACAAGAUUACCUUAAAUCUACCCUAAUUUUUGUACUAUUUAUUACUUUUAGGGAGGUCAACCUGUGAGCAUUGAUAACGAGCUCUCCUUAUGUGUAAAAUCUACAAUUUUAUCUCGAUCUGACAAAUCAAAUGAAGAAAAAGGCCAUUAGUGCAUCCACAAAGGAAUGGAGUGUACUCUUUAUUUUCUAAGCCUCAAUCUCGGGCUUACUAUCUUUAUUGAGCUUCUAUUUUGCAAGGCAUAGGAAGAGCAACUACCAGUUCUUUAUUGAACUCGGGCAAUCGAUCAAAAUCUUUUUGUUUGGUCGAGUUGUAAUAUAAAACUACCACUAUCACUAAGAUAUUUUUUAAGAGAAAAGAACUCCUUGAUAGAUGGAGACAAUGAAGAAUAUUUAAAUGUUGACAAAGAAUAAUAAAAGCGACUAUGUACCGAGCAACAUUUGGGAUGAGCUGAGUGAUGGUUAAAUUAUAAAAAUUAAAAAUUGAAAUGAAUAAAAGAUGAAGUGUAAACUUUAGAUCGAUGAGGAAUGAAUCCCAGUAUACAUAGAGCUGAUAUGGCUCUACUUAUUAGUGAACUCGGUUUGAAAAACUUAAUGUUAUUAUACUAUACCCCUCUUUGAGAAAAGGGAAAGUGGUACACUACAGGUGUUUUGGUUUUUAGUGGCAUUUUUUUUUACUGUUUAGUGGCAUUUAUUAACACCACGAUAAAGUUUGUGGCGGUUGUGAAAAAUGCCACGCAGAAUGCCGCCUAUUCACACUUCACGAAAAAUAGUGGCGUUUUUAAAAAAAUGCCUCUAACUUAGCGGCGUUUUCUGAUACAAACGUCACUAAAUUUAGUAGUGUUUUUUGAUGCAAAUGCUACUAAAUUUAUCGGCUUUUGUAUUUAAAAACGUCGCUAAAUUAUGAAUUUAGUGGCAUUUGCAUAAAAAAAAGUCGCUAAAUUUAGCGACAUUUGUGUUUAAAAAUGCCACUAAAUAUAACGACAUUUUCUGAUACAAACGUCACUAAAUUCAGCAUGUAAUGGCAUUUUUAAAUACAAACAUCGUUAAAUAAAAAAUUUUAUUUUUAAAAUUUUAUUUUUAAUAUUUAUUAUUAUAAUUAAAUACAAAUUGUUAAAAGAAAUAAAAAUGAAUUUAAAUUCAUAAACCGAAUAUUAUAAAUAUUUAAAUAUCUAAAUACAUAAUUUGUUUCAAUAUGCAUGUAACACAAAGUUUAAUAUAUGUAAUAACAUUCCACUUUGCAUUUGUUUUCUUCUUGCCUAUCAACGGACUCCAUAGAAGGAGUUACACUUGCUUUUAGUGGAGCCUACAAUGCCUAUUCAUCCUCUUGGGUUCCACUGCUAAAGAGAACAUUUCUCCAGGAACCUCAAAAUGUGUUGUCAGAAUUGCAUCACAGUACAUUUCAUUUAUCUUAUCCACAACUUCAUAUUCCAUCCUGAUUGAAAAAUGUCAUUGGGUAAGCUAUAAAAAGUAGCAUAAAAUUUGUAAUGCAAGAUAAAAUCAAGGAAGAUAUACAAGAUCUCAUUGAUCUACACCUAAUUGAUGCUAAAACAAGUGCUCAUAAAUUGGAAUUGAAAAGAUCAAUUAAGGAACCAAAAGUAAAAUUGAUUUGAAGAAUAAACAGUGCAAGAAAAUACAAGAAUUAACUAAAAACAACUAAAAUAUAAAGUGAAAUUCAACCAAAACUCAUUGAGUUGAUGAAAGAAAAAAUUAGGUCUAGAAGCUUAUAAUGAAAAUGAACUUGAAAUGAGCUAAGAAACAAUUCAUCAAUCAAUUUUGCUACAAAAUUCAACAAGAAAAUGAUAGCAAAAUAGAGAAAAACCAGCUUAAUGAACUAGCAACUCAAGUGAUACUAAAAACAGAGAAAAACAGAGCAUUAACAAUUAAAUCUAUCCAAACACCAAAUGAAUUCAUGAAAUAAAUGCAAUAAAUUAAAAAAUAAAAAGUAAACAUGUAAAACUAAGAAUGUAAAAUAUGAGAGAAUCAAAUCGAACAACUAGAAGGAGAGAGGAUCACCAUUCAUCAAGUUCUCAUGCAUGGAUUGCUUCUGCCUUUUGGAUUCACCCUUAACUUUGAAGAAUUACCUGUAUACGUACAAAUGGAAUUUGAGGUUGAGUUUUUACUGGAUUAUAGCAUUGUGAACUACGAAUCUAGGAAAAAAAAUUGAAGUAAAUCAAGCUAGAAUUCACUGAGUCUUGAUUAAAAGACUAAAGAUAGGUCAGGUGCACAGUUUUGAAACCAGAUUUGAGUUCAAUGUGAAUUUUACAGAAUUUGAAAAGGAAAUCAUGAGAAUUUGUAAAUUUCAUUAUGAAAACCUUAAAGAACAUUCAAAAAAAGUGUAGGAAACCUAAAAUUGUAACAAGAUUCAAUUAAGAAAACUAAAAAUGACAGCAGAUCAGGUUCUAACAAGAAAAAUGAAAGGUAAAAUAUCAAUGUUGUGCUCAAUGUUGUACCAGCAAAGAUAUAUGGAAAGCAUAAACUUCUUAUAAGACAACUGAUUAAUCAUAAAAUAUGGCUUAAAUAAGGUUCAGAAAAGUAUGAACAAGCAUCAACAAAUAUCAUACAGAUAUUCAUGUGAAACAAUGGCCUCCCAUCUCAAAACCCCUCAGCUUUUGACAAAUUAUUAAAAGAAGUUCUUUUUGUAAUAGAAUACAAGAUUCAAGUACAUUAUCAUGAAUUUAUACUUUCAUAUAGUUCUCUUGAUUUGAAAGAUCUUCUUUCAAAAUAAUUACAUUUCUCGCUUCCUCUCACACUCACCUAAGAACAUUUAGCACAUUAAAUCAAACAGCAAGCAAAGAUUUCUAUAUUAAACCAGCAGACAUAAAGCAAGAGUCAAGGCAAAGUAUUCACAUAUAGAUAUGAGAUAAGUGAGAGCAACCUUGUGCUGAGUACUCAAAGAGCUUUCCAGCAGCUGAAAAGAUUGAAAGAGCUAUCUCAGCAUCAUAAAGACUGGAAAACUCAUAAGCUUUCUUGAAAAGUACUUAUCUCCUUUUUGAGAAAGUCACCUGCCUCGUUGCUACGUUGUCAAUCUUCUUGAUUUGAAUUUUCUUUCUCACCAUUCUCUUUCAAGAAAAAAGUUAGGGAAAAAAAAGAAAUUAUAGAGGAGAAAGAGAGGGUUUCAAUUUUGAAAAAAAAAAUUUAGCCACAUUAUUUCAUCACGAUAGCGACGUUUACUUAAAAAAAUGUCACUAUUUACAAAGAGGAUUAUUGAAGGUAUUUUUUGAAAAAAAAUGCCUUCAAUAAUCCCCUUCAAUUUUUUUGAGGGGACUAUUGAAGUCAUUUGUUUUACCAAAAGUACUUUCAAUAAUCUCUUCUAAUUUUUUAAAAGGGAUUAUUAAAGGCGUUUUCUGUAAAAAAAUACUUUCAAUAAUCCCCUUCAUUUUAUAUGAAAAGAUUAUUGAAGGCAUUUUUUAUCAAAAAAUACCUUCAAUAAUCCUCUCUAAUAUUUUGAAAAGGAUUAUUGAUGACCUUUUUUUUAACCAAAAACGCCUUCAAUAAUCCCUUGUAAUUUUUUUAGAGAGGAUUAUUAAAGGUGUUUUAUGUAAAAAAAAAACUUUUAAUAAUCUCUGCUAAUUUUUUAUAAAAGAUUAUUGAAGGCGUUUCAGGCAAAAAACACCUUGAAUAAUUUGCUUAUAAAAAAUAAAGAUAAUUAUUAAAGCCGUUUUUUGCUAGAAAUGCUUUCAAUAAUUUCGUUAAAAAAUUGCAGAGGAUUAUUAAAGGUGUUUUUGAUAAAAAAAUGCCUUCAAUAAAUUUUCUUAUCAGUAAAUCUGUCAAAAAUAAAGUAGUAUUAUUGGUUAGAGCAUACGAUUGUUAAUCAUAAAGUUGUAAGUUUAUUCCCUCAUUUCAGCAUUUUUUAAGAUUUUUGAGAAAAAUCGAAUUUAUAACCUUAUGAUUAACAACUGUAUGCUCUAACCAUCAAUGCUACUCCAUUUUUCACAAAUUUAUUGACAAAGAUAUUUAUUGAAGCCGUUUUUGACAAAAAAAAUACCUUCAAUAAUUUCUUUCAAUUUUUUUAGAAGGGAUUAUUGAAUGUAUUUUCUACAAAAAAAAACCUUCAGUAAUUCCUUUGAAUUUUUAUAAGGGAUUAUUAAAGGUGUUUUACGCAAAAAAAAAUGCCUUGAAUAAUCUGCUCAUAAAAAAUAAAGGUGAUUAUUAAAAGCGUUUUCUACUAGAAACGCCUUCAAUAAUUUUGCUAAAAAAUUGUAAAAGAUCAUUAAAGGCGUUUUUGGUCAAAAAUGCCUUCAAUAAAGUUUCUUGUCAAUAAAUUUAUCAAAAAUGGAGUAAUGCUGUCGAUUAAAGCAUAUGGCUGUUAAUCAUAAGGUUGAAGGUUCGAUCUCUUUUUUCAACAUUUUUUAGGUUUUUGGUCAGAAAUGCCUUCAAUAAUUCUCCUAAAAAAUUAAAGUCGAAUAUUAAAGGCAAUUUUUGUCAAAAACGCCUUUAAUAAUCUCUUGACAAAUUCAAAAAAUGUUGAAGGAAAGGAUCGAAUCUAUGAAGUUAUAAUUAAUAACCGUAUACUCUAACUAUCAAUGCUACUCCAUUUUUCACAAAUUUAUUGACAAGGAGAUUUAUUGAAGGCAUUUUUUACAAAAAAAUACCUUCAAUAAUCCUCUACAAUUUUUUUAAGAGAUUUAUUGAAGGCAUUUCUAACAGAAAAUGCAUUUAAUAAUCACUUUUAUUUUUUAUGAACAAAUUAUUCAAAGCGUUCGUUGCCUGAAACGCCUUUAAAAUCACUCCAAUUUUAGCAAAUAGGAUUAUUCAAGGCGUUUUAGUCAAUAAACGCCGUUAAGUUUUGUCUUUAAUGGCGUUUAUAUGUAUAAACACCGUUAUUUGAAUAUUUAGUGACGUUUGGAUAAUAAACGCCUGAAGUUUUAUAAAAACACAGAAGUUAACGGCAUUUCUAAAUGAAAGGCCACUACAAAACUUUCGCUAAUAUGCCAUUUUGUUGUAGUGGUACCUAGAGUUUAACGUGAUUAGCUGAAUAUAUGUUGGGACAGUCUUCAAGAUUUGCUCUACCUUUUAGCUCACUCAUCACUUUUUUAGGGAUUAUGUCGAGGUUACACAGAGUAUAUAUAAGGACUUCAACAAGUUCGUCUUGCUCUAUAAGACUCUUCCCCUCGCCAUCACUUUUUUUAGUUAAAAUACUCUUUUUUUCUUAUUCUUCUUCAAAACCCUCAUCGUCAAAAGCAUCUGACUCUAGAGUAAAAGAUGGAUCUUGAGAAAAAAUAGUGGAUGAAAGUAGCUUGAUCCUAAAUAAAGAGGGCCAAGUUGAAGACCCCUUAGGAGAGGAUGAGAUGUCAAGAAAAACAAAUUGAAGGAAAAGAUAAAAGUGGUAUGAGGUGGAAAAGAUUGAACCCCAGAAGAGAAAAUACCUGAAGAGAAAGAAAGAUCAAUAUAGAAGAUAAACCAACCUAAGAGAUGGGGAAAAUAAUUGGAUUUCAAAGUUCAAAGUUGAUUUGAACGCACAACUUUUCAAUGCUCAAAACUCACUCGUCUUUUGCCUAAGCAUUCUCUUUAUUGCAUUGCUGCCCUUCCUCAAACAUCAAAUUGAACUAAUAAGCUAUCUUUGUAUAGUUACGACCUCUAAUAACAAAAAGGAUCAAAUCAUCAUAUUAUUGCUCUUGCUGACCUCCUAUUGCCUCUACCUUAUAGCUUUUAGUCUCUUCAAAACUCAUACUAUAAGACAUGAUUAAAAGUACAUACUAAAGUAAGCAUAGAAAAAACUUUGAAAGCAAGAAAGUUACAGAUAGAAAAAAUUUUAGGUCAAAUCGAGAGCAAAAAAAGUGAAAGAUAAAAAACUGAAGCCCCAUAAGCCUUUUUAUAUAGAUGCUCUUCAGUCUAGGAGAGUGGCAUGAUCCUCACCACAUGUUAGUGCAUGGGUGCGUAGACAUUUUUUCAUUUUUUUGCUUUAAAUUCCCUAUUCAAAUCAUCUCUUUAUUCAUUUAAUGUUAUCAGACUGGCCUAAUCGGAUGAACUCUAGAUCGAAUUAGUCGAACCAAAUAAUUGUUAGAGGUAAACUAAGAGCCCGAUUUACUAUCAAGGUUCAAAAAGAAGGCUUAUGUCUAAAUUUUUAAAAUAAAACACAAGUCUUGCCAUAGCCUUACAAAUUUCAGCAAUAAUCUUGAAUCACCCCAGAUAAUUAUCAUUUCAAUAAUCUUUAAAUCAAUUAUGCACUCAUCUCAAAACAAAUGCACGAGAUUGGAUAACCAUUAGGUUAGACGGUGGCUUAAAUUUAGUCAUCAUCUUAAAUCGACCUUCCUUACAACAUCAAUUUUUAACAAAAUAUGUAGCCAUUUGCCCCACACCGGGGAUGUUGAUAAAAAAUUUGGUGAUCUAAUACUCAAAAAGCUUGAUGGGGGAUAGAAUAUUAGAGGCAUAUAAUCGUUAAAAAGGCAUAUUGGUCUUUUUUCCCUUCUUUGUCUUCAGCAGACAACUUGGGUUACCUUGGUCAUUUGUGUUGACUUGACAUGUUAGAUAGUUUGACACUUCUAAUGCUACCUCAGCUUGGCCUUGUCCUAAUUGUCCUUUCUUUAUCCCUCUCAGCUUACCUAUAAAUAUGAAAAUUCAGGCCCAUGAAACCAAGUUCAUCUAACUUAUACCUUUAUUUCAUUUUUACUUUUUCACAUCUUUUUCGACCUGAUCCUUAUUGACUUACGCAUUUGUGUGCAAACGCAGGGAACACCCCUGUCUUUGCCUUUACCAUUCUUUUCAUUUGCCUUUAUAAAGAUACCCUCAGGUUGUAGUUCGGCACAAACAGAUAUGAUCAAAUUUCUAGCUUCAAUGACAUGAGGCUCCCUAAAGCUACUAUUUUUGCUUGUAGAACCACUCCCAGUUAUUGUAGAAAUGCUUCCAUUGGUGUUAUUGGCAACAACCUUAACCACAUUAUUUGAAUUAGAUAGAUACUUUAAGUGGAUUAAUAGGGAAGUUAAAGCCAACUUAUUGUUUUUAUCAUUUUAUAACAAUAGAUGGAUAGAUGAAUGACAAGAAAUGUAAGAACCGCAAAACUUGUAAUAGGAGCAACUAUUGAAACAAAUGUGUUUCUUCUUAAACCUUUUGUUUUUGUUAAUUCCAUGGAAGAAUAAUGGGAUUAACACCUAAACCUUUUGAUGUGGGUUAAAAAUUUAGGGAUUUUUUGUUGCGUGAAGAAUUUAUUCAGCUUUUAGGAUUUUAAUUGUUUUUUUUUUAUUUUUAUAGUUUUUUUUGUUAAUGAUAUUAAGAUAUUAUUAAGUUUAGGAAAAAUUUGUGUUAAUGCUAAUAUAGCUUUUUAGUAGUCCACAAGGCCAAAAUUUGUAAUACACAGUAGCAUUAAUAAUGUUAAAAGCCAAUAAAAAUAUCAUGUCAGUAGCCACGUUAGCUAUUUAAAGGAUAAAAUUUAACACUGUUAACAAUUGAACUGAAAUUUUUAAAAAAUAAUAUUAUAAGGAUUAAAUUCUUUUAAAUAAUAUUAAAUGGACUGAAUUCUAAAAUAUCGAUAAGUAUAUGGACCUAUAUCAUAUUUUUACCUAAAAAAAUAAAAAUGGGAACCCAAACUGCAUAUAUCUUUAGCUAAUGUCAGUGCAUGAUGCCAUAAUGCCAUUCUUUGACCAAGAAAAAAGCAAAAUACAAUUGUGGAAGCAAAGAGAAUAGAAGAACAAAAGCAUGAUCAUGCAAAAUCAUUCAAAAAUAUUUUCAUCUCUUAAUUUUCCUUUUUGAGAGUAUUGUAAUUUUGUUCUAGCUUUGUCUUUUCAAAGCUAAAACUAUUUUGAUAAUUGAUAUUCUAUAUCUUAAUAUUUAUUUUUUAUAAAAGUUUCAAAACUUUUAUAUUUUAACUUAAUAUAAGAGUUUACAUCUAUAAGUAGAUUUCAAAUAUAAUUAUGUUUUUAUAGUCUAUUUUUAAGACUUUUUAUGUCACUUCAUAAAUAUUUAUACGAAUCUAUUUCAUCAUGGGCACUAUUAAUAAUUUUUUUAACACGAACAAAAUUAUUUCCACCACUCAAAUGGAUCAAAUAGCAUUCCGUUUGCUAUUAUUAAAGUUAUCAUAUUCAUAAGAUCUUUGAAUCACUCAUAACUUCCAAAGUAAAUAUACUUUAAAAUUUUCACUAUAUUACAAAACUUUUAAUAAAACCAUAGAUAAUAAUCAUUUUUACAAUCCAUGAAUUAGACCAUAUAUAUAACAAAAAAUUACCACAACGUGAUCAAGAUUGUGGCAUCAAUUUUAACUUAUGGCUAUUCUAAGCCAACCAUACUAAUCCAAAUCAUACCUACAAAUCAUGUAGAUUUGGCUAUUGAAGUUAUCUCAUUUAUAGUGAUGGCUUUUAGUGAAAACCAACUAUCUCAAAUAUUGUCAUGAAUUUCCAAUGUAUAUAUUAAUUGUUUAAUGGUCAAUUCCAAGUUCAUGAUUAUUGAAAUCUCUAAACUUGAUUUCAAAAUUUUAUGAGAACUUUAUUUCUCCACUAUUGUGCAACCUAUAUAUCUAUGUUAUUUACCACCUUUAAUUGGUCAUAAUAUUUCGGGUAUAUAAUAAAUUCAAACUUUACUCAUAGGACCAAUAUGCUUAUGUAAAAUAAAAGUCCAUAAUAUAGUUAACUCCAAUUUUAAAAACUUUCGCAAUCAUUUUGUGAUCAAUAUGUUCAUAUCUAGAUUACCAUAUCAACGCAAGUCAUGAAAUAUGAAUCCAAAGAAUCAUUUUCAUAAAAUAUCAUAAACAAUAAUUAUAAUAUGAGUUCUACUCAUAUUUCAUUUAAAAACUCGUAAUGAAUUCAUAUUGGUUAAAUAAUUGAUUGGCUAAUUCCAAAGCUUACGGUUUUCACAAACUAAAAUUAUUAUCUAAUCCUAUAUGUUCAUAUGGUGUAUAACCAAUCACAUCCUUGUCAUUAUCAUGAAAUUAUUGAAAAGCUCACAAACUUGUGCACUUUUCAUUUUAACAGCUUACAAAAGGCCUUUUUUUUAGUAUAAGAAGUAAAAAUAUCUUCAUUGUCUUUAACAAAUAAUGUAUUAAUUGGAUGAAUGCAUUCUAUCUCCAUAGCCUCUAUCUUUCUUAUAUGUAUAAAAAAAAAAUUAAAUCUCAUUCAAUUCAUUUUCUUAAUAUAUGGCAAACUAUACUAAUGUUCUCCAUGUCAUCAGAAAAUGGAACCAAAUACAUACAUGUAUUGGUGCCUUUAGAACAUUGAAUUUGCAUGUUCUUUUCUAAUUCAUAAACAUGGCUAAUUAAACAUUGAUGAGCAUCCUUUAAAAUGCUAGUAAUCAACAAAUGCUUCAAUAUUUUUAAUGACAUGCCUUUUCUUUUAAUUAAUAUCCCAUAUGCGAAAAGCAACAAUGCUUUUGUGUACCCAUUGAUUAAUUCCUUGACGACUAUUUAUAAUUUCCAUUUUGUGAUUGUUUACUUCUAGUAUAAUACACUUAGUAGUUAAAUAAAUGUCACACUACCCAUGUUUAUGAUAAUAACAAUUAUUUGGUUUAUUAUCCACCAAUUAAUCCAUGAUACAUCAAAUCUUAAUAAUAAUUAUUCAUAUACAUCAAUUUAAUUUUAAUUGAUUUCAUGAAAAUUGAGCACCUGUCAAAAUUUGAACUAAUAAUAAAUUAAAAAAAUCAAACCUUUGAUUUAUAAAACGACCAACAAAGAUAUAACCAUACAAAUAGUUUAACUCAAUUUAUUAUCUUAAUUUUAGUACCAUAAUUGAAAAAUAAAACUAAUCUUACAACCAAAUUUUAUUUUCUGUAUAUAUUCUCUACUUACAUCCCAUUUUUUAUGAAAAUUAACAUUUUGGUCCAUAGAAAGAUUAAUUUUUUGACACUUUGAGCCUUUUCUAAUAUUGAUCUACAAAUAAUGCCAAUUUCUUUUCCAUAUAUCUUCCUCAUGUGAAAUAUAAAUUUCUCACAAUUGUCUUUAAAUUAUUAAAAAAUAAAUAAGAGAAGAGAAAUAAUAGAAAAAUUUUUUGACUUUGAGGCAUGAAGAAACCUUUCUUAAAGGCAAUUAUGCCUUUAAGAUACAAUAAAACCUCAAACUUUCUAAUCAAAAGUAGUGAAAAUGAUUAUACUGAAAUAUUUAUUUAUAAUAAAUAAAUAAAUAUAAACUUUUAUUCAUAUAGUUAUAACAUUUUGUAUAAUCAUUACUUUUAUGAACAAUAAUAUAUUUAUAUUCAAAUAGUCAUAAUCAUUUGUUAAAUAAUAAUUGUUUUGGUUCAAACAAAAUUAUUUAAAAUAUAAAUAAAAUGAAUACAAAAAUUAACUUUCAUCAAUAAUUAAAUCUUUUUAUCCGAUGUGAGAUUCACCACAUUCUAAACUAUCAAUAAAAUCAUCCGACACUAUAUUUCAUUCUAAGAUAUAAAAUGUGAGAACAUCUAAUUUUUGCGGAAAUCGUGGAAGCUCCGGUCAAUAUUUGUACUCCCUUAUUUUGCUAUUUGGUGUUAUGCCAUCGGCCGGAACCAGCCAAAGACCGCACGCUUCGGCAACUUGUAUCUAAGUGACACCAUUGCACGCACGUUGCAGUUGUAUAUAGAUACUGCUGGCUUAAUCCAACUUCCAUUUUCAUCUUGAUCCUAGCCUGCAUGAAGUCUUGACCUACUGACUUUUUUCAGCAAUUACUUUGGCAACAAGGCUUGUUCAGGUUUUAUAUCUUAGACAUCGAUCCCAGGCUCUCUUGGCAAAGCAUAUCAGCUCUAGUCACAGACAUCUGUGCUCUAAAGCAUGUUGAGAACGUGAGGACAAAAAAAAAAGACUGCACAUAGACGCCUGGGAGAGUUAGAAUCAUCAGAACUUGCAUGAUCAGCAAAACUAAUGUCAAUGUUCAACUGGAAAUUAGCUACUUUCAGCGUUAUUGCGUUUUAGGCGUACCCAAGGCGAAUGACAAUACUCAACAUGAAGGGUCACGAUACAUCAGACAAAACCUGGCAAAAUAAGUGUCUGAUAUGAGAAAUGCAAUUGAUUGGUUACGGCCUUAAACUUCAAGGCAUGUUUCAAAGGCAAUCUGAGGAAUAUUUUAUUUCCAAUUUUCUUUGUUACUUCUUACAAAGAUUUCCGUAGUUUUUUGUAUUCUAAGAUUUUCUUUAAUAUUAGAUUUCAUCUUAUCCCCAACUUAUAUUCCAAGAUCGAUUAAUAAUUAAUGCUUGAGGAUAAAAACAAAAGUACAUAUAUCUAUACACGUAGCUCAAUAGUAUACAAAAGAAAAUUAAUUGGAUUUAUAUAUUAUUUGCGUGGAUAAUGGAGUUUUAAUUUCUGUAAUUUAAAAUUAUUGAAUUACUCCAAUUUGUACAUAUGCACCGCCUUAUUACGUAUACGAUAAUGAUAUAUCCUUGCAAUUUUCAAUAAUCACUCAAGUUAUUAUGGUUUUAUCUUUUAUUACUAAAUUAAUUUUUUUAAUUAAUUAAAUUCCUCAAAAUACAUGCACACGUACCUCUAUAAAAAGCACACAAACUAGCUAUUGCAAGAAGUCAUAUACAGUGAGAAAUUAAGAACACAAAACCCUACUGAUAACUUCCUUUCAACCAAGAAAAUAAUUGAAGCAAAGGCUUUCAGUUUCAGUGUGAUGGUGAGAAUCAAGCCUUUCAACUUUGAAAAACCUUAGUUUCAUGGCUAGCUACUUUUUAUGAAUGUACAUUAAAGGUUUUCUUGAUAUCCCCUUCUUUCUUCUCUGCAGGCAUUGCUAGUUAUUGCUUUUUUUAUUUUGAACUUUGGUUUUGGGAUUGGUAAUUGCCAAUCCCUUAAUGUCAUCAAUUUUGGGGCUGUUGGAGAUGGAAGAACAGAUGAUUUACUGGUAAAUUUUUCAUCUUUUUUCAGCUUAAUUUAAGCUGCAUGUACGUACAAUAUUGUACAUGCAUGUUUUUUUGUAUACUGCAUAUAGUAUAUUCCUAUUUAAUUAUAUUCUUUUUGCUCUCUCUCUCUCUCUCUCUCUCUCUCUCUAUAUAUAUAUAUAUAUAUAUAUCUACACGAUUAUAUCUGAUCUUACUAAUAAUUAUGUGUUGAUUUUGAAUAUGUAGGCUUUUUCAAAAGCUUGGACAGCUCUGUGUGCAGCAACUAAUAAUCCAACCUUGGAAAUCCCUUCCGCCAAAACUUUUUUGCUGAGUUCUAAAAUUGAUUUUUCCGGUCCUUGCAAGUCAAAAUCCAUUCAUAUUAAGGCAAAUAGCACAGUUACUUAGUUCAUAUUCAUGUCUUUUCUUUUUUUUUUUCAACUUUUGCAUAUACUAUAUAAACAUGAUUUGAACCUGUGAAUAAAUUAUUACUUUUAUAUCAAUUCAGGUUCUGUGAAAGAAAAAAAAAGGAAAAAAUUAAUUCGGUUGUUAUCCUUGUCCGCUAGAAUAUAUUAAAACCACGUUAUAUUAUAGAAACUUCAACCAAUAUUGGCUCCUCUUGUUUUCUAUAAUUUAUUUAUUUAUUUUAUAUAAAUUUGUAACCAAAAGAAUAAUAUGCUUGGCAAGAGGAAAGGGUUAACUAAGAUUUGCAUUCUAUAUUUUUACAUAUAUAUAUCGUAUAUGUUAAUUAGGUUUAUGAUCUUUUGCUUAUUUAUAAAUUUAUUUAUCAAUUGCUCGAAAAAACAAAAAAAAAAAAAGAAAAGAGCUAAGCUUAAUACACGAACAAAAUUAGUACUUGGGUAAUUGGGUAUAGUGUUGAAUUAUUGAAACAUAUCUAUGAUUAAUGGUGAGUAAAUUUUCAACCUUUUUUACCAAAUUUUCAUACAAAAAAAAUGUCCUACUGUAUACAUAUUUUCAGGUCCUUGGAAACAUUAUUGCACCAAAAAGCAAUACGUGGACAAAAUGUGAUAAUGGUUGCUGGCUAUGCUUCUCAAACGUAGCUGGUCUUACUGUUGAUGGAACAGGCCAAAUAGAUGGCAACGGUGCUGCUUGGUGGAAUAAAGUAUAAUGCAUGCUCAAUUUUGUUUUUAUUUUACAUUUUAUUGUCCAUUAAUUAAUUAAUUAUAAACUGACUAAAUAAUUCUUCUAAUUCAAUUUAUUUUUCAGACACCAAAUGAGUGUGCACCAGCAGUAAGUUUGUCUUGCAUAUCAUAAAGUUGAGAUUAAUUAAUUUCAUAAAUUAUCUUAGCCUAUUAAUUUUUUUUAAGAAAUUCAUUAUUGAUGCAGGUUAUUUCUUUCGAGAAUUGCAAUAAUCUUAAUUUUCAUGGAAUCACUUCUUUAAAUAGUCCUGGAAAUCACGUAAGCGUGAAUAGGUGCGAGGAAGUGGAUAUAUCACAUAUUCAACUAAUUGCACCCAAAGAUAGUCCCAACACUGAUGGGAUUGACAUCUCCUCAUCCACUGCUCUUCGAAUUUCAGACUGUUUCUUUGGAACCGGUACAUAUAUAUAUAUAUAUAUAGAGAGAGAGAGAGAGAGAGAGAGACUUACGUAUUUUUAUAUAAUGUUGUUUUCACAUUGUAAGUAUGUCUUUUCUUAAAAAUUAUUAUUUUAUUUAUAAUAUAGGAGAUGAUUGCAUAGCUAUCAAUGGCGGUUCCUCUCAUAUAAACAUCACCCGCCUUACAUGUGGACCAGGCCAUGGAAUUAGGUAAUUUUUUAUUAAUUAAUUUAGCAUAUAUAUAUAUAUAUGAAUUUUUUCUAAAAUAAUUCAUCAACUUCUGCGUAUGAUUGUAGCGUGGGAAGUCUUGGAAAAAAUGGGAAAAACGAAACAGUGGAAUGGGUGCAAGUGGAGAAUUCUAUCUUCAAUGGAACUCAAAAUGGAGCUAGAAUCAAGACAUGGGUGGUAGUUAUUUUUAUUAUCAUUCUUAAAAGAUUGAUCAAGAAAACUUCUUAAUUUCUUCUCAAUAACAUUAAUUUUUUUUUUUUUUUGUUCUAUAUAUAGGGUGGUGCUGGAUUUGCAAGGGAUAUUUCCUUUGUUGGCGUUCAACUCAUAAACGCUGAAAACCCGAUCAUUAUUGACCAACACUAUUGUCCUCACCAAACAUGUCAACCUGAAGCGGUAAACAUAUACAAUUCGUGUUGGAUUUUUUUUUUUUAUGAAUAAAAUUUUACUAAUUAAUUAAUUAUAAUGUAUACAUGCAGAAAACAGCAGUAAAGAUAAGCAAUGUGAGAUUUAGUGGAUUCAAAGGGACAUCCGCUACUGAGGUUGCUAUCAAACUGGAUUGCAGUAGUAUAGUUCCUUGCACUGGUAUCACUCUAAGCAACAAUAUGAUAACUUCAUCAACUCCUGGAAAGAAGGUAAAAGCUGAAUGCCAUAAUGCUCAUGUCUCUUCCAACUUAACAACUCCCUCAGUCACUUGCUUAACACCCAAUCACAUAUCAGUUAUUACUCCAAAGCUUAAGGAAAGUACGUACGAGCAGUGAUCCAGAAUGUAUAUUUAUCAGCCUAAUUUAGAUAGAUAAAAAUU